Molecule: long non-coding RNA, 50510 nt
Filed under: Cucumis sativus (cucumber)
Lineage: Eukaryota; Viridiplantae; Streptophyta; Magnoliopsida; Cucurbitales; Cucurbitaceae
Description: long non-coding RNA (CSAT_LNC000978)
Source: RNAcentral
UUUUUUUUUUUUUUUGUCAAAUUGUACAAAAUACUCGUAAACUUUGUAUUUUGUGUCAAAAAUACCUUUGAAUUUUCAAGUUUCAAAAACACAACUUUUAUAAAAAAAAAAAAAAUAUUAAGAGCACUCCUAUCCAUAGUUUUAGAUAAAAAUGGGUAAUGUUUUGUUUCAAAAACACUAGUGAACUUCCAAAAUCGCUAAUACUCCUUUCAAAAAUAUUCUUAAAAUUUAAAAGUUCCUAAACUCUUUAACCUUAAAAGAAAAUAAAGCUUUACAAUAAAAUAAAUUUGUGUUGAAGAUUUUAUAAGCUAAUAAAAUCAAACUAAAACACAAAUUACAUACUCAUUUUUUCUUCACAUAGACACUCUCAUUCUUUUUCUAUUUGUUUAAUUCUUAUACCAAUUUUCUCACAACAAAAUAUAAACUAAAACUUCAUGUUAAAAUAUAAAGAAUUUAACAAAAUCUCACAUAAUUUUAAAAUAAAAAUAUUCCCCUAAAUUUACCAAAACAAAAACAAUAUAUCUAGCUAUUUACACAUACUCAACUACAAAUGUAUAACAUCCUAAAACAUAUAAUAAGUCUUAAAGAUCUCACUUGGUGCUUUAUUAUUUCUCAUGUGUACGUGUAUGUGGUUACUAACACAAUUUUUUUAAAUUCUAAAAUUAUUUUUCAUGUUGUGUUAGCUAUGUGUACUUUUGUACAUUCAAAAGUAUUUUUUAAACUUUCAAAAUUUAAACAUAUUUUAAAACACGUUAGUUUAAGAACAAUUUCUUAAACUAUUUUUAAUACAAACGUUAAAGUUGAAAUAAUUUAUUUAUGAUUAUGAUUAUUUAUUAUUUAUGUAAAGGGGAUUUGCAUGUAAUUUAAGUACAUAUGAUCCGUUACGGAUCUCCUAUCUUGAAUUUGGGCCGGCCCAUUAUUUUCAUGUCUUGAUUGGUUUACUUUGUCAGCCCAAAUGUAUGUGUAUUUUCUCAAAACUUAAUGAAAUUUCAAUUUUAUUUGGUAUGAAAUGUAAAUAUUUUAACAAUUUCCCCCCUAAAAUUUAUAGUUGAAAUGGAUGAGUUUUGGUAAAAUUAUUAAAUGGUUAAUUUGUUCAUUGGACCAAGUUUUUUUGGGGCAAGACAAAGGAGGAGGAACAACCAAAACCAGUUCCUCUCUCACUUCUUCAUGGCAGAUGAGAGGAAGAAUAUAAGAAGGAAAAACAGUUUUUCAGAAUAGAAAACAAUCUUGAGACCUGAGAGGAUGUGUCAACGAUGCAAUACCAUGAGCGGUUUUGUCCUCAAUAGAGAGACUUUGAUAUCAGCUAAAGAGCCCUUCUUUUUUUGUUCAUCAUAUUUUUAGUUUCUAAUAUAUCAAAAUUCAUCUCAAGCAAUACAUUUAAGAUUUGACCCCAACCACUCGUGCUCGACCAUAGAAAUACCUUCCAAAAUCCCUUUAGCCGACUAAAUUAGUUAAGAAUCAAAAUUGAUAUUCUCAUCUGUAAAAUCAAUUUUGGGACUAUUUUGUAAAGGCACACAUCAUAGUCUUUAUAUUCAUAGAUUCAAGCAUUAAUUCUUAUGAUAACUAAGAUGUGAUCACAUCCUCUCCUUCUCAUAUUUUAGAUCAUUCUUAUAAUUGUUUUAAGAAAAUAAUAUUUCUACGCUGAGGAAUGACUCUUACAUAGGGAUAGAGUUUCAUUAUUCUUUUAAAUUUUAAAUGAUUAUUUUUUGUUGUUUUAAGGCGAAAAAAUAAUUUAAAGAUAAAAGAAAGGAUAUUAAUUCUAUUCAUCAUCAAAGAAUAAUCUUUCGUAUUGAACCAAUCUGAUCACAAGGAAACAAUAACAUGUUUUUCCAAUUAUAUUGAGCGAAUAAAUACUAUGCUAUUUUCCAAUUUCAAGGGUACAAAUUGUGGAUCUCUAAAAAAAGAAAUCACCAAAUUGUGUUUAAGAUUUUAUAUAGUGAGAAAAAAUAUACCUUCUUUAGUUCUACAAUAGGUACGUCAACGGGUAAAAUUGUUGAGUUUGAAAGCUUAAUGACCUAAAUACAAUUAAAAUAAUAUUUCCUAAAUAAAUAUGGAAGAAAUUAGUGACAAUUAGUGACUUAAUUGCAAUAGAGGGGUUUAGUCCGAGUGCACUUGAGAUAAGACUUGUGAAAAUAAAGCUUCCUAUAGUACACUCAUAAUUACUACCUUCAAUAUGCCCUCUGUGCAUGAAAAAUAAAACUGCCAACACCUUUUCUUCAAUGGUUAGGUUUUUUCAAGAACUUUUCAAGGAAGUUAUUCUUACACUUUAAUUUGAAGUGGGUUCGGCGCAACUCUUUCAGAGGAGAAUGUUAUGCAUAUCUAAGUGGGGCCUUAUUUCAGAAAAUUUUUAUCAAAAGUUUGUUCCUUGCCUUAUUUAGGUAAAUGGUGUCAAACUGAUCCCCUUGCAAAUUUAGUUUCAAAGGAAUCAAAAAAAUUGAGGUAAGGGUUCAAGUUUGGUGCUCUUUUUCAAAAUUAUUUACGGAGUACUCGAGUGCAUAUUAGCUUAAAUUGAAAUGCAUUUAUAUUCUCUUUAUCGUUUUUAGUCUGGUUUGGUGAUGUUUUGACUUAAUUUUGUUAUUAUUCCAACAUUAUUAAGAUUUUAUGUCAUUUUGUAUUUCAUUCUCUUAUUUGGAGAGUGAUGAAUACAUUUUGGGUGUGUCGAAUUAGAGUGUACCUAUUGAUCUCUAGUUGCUUAUUAUAUUUCAUUUUAAUUUGAACAUUAGUACAUUAGUCUAUAUUCAGUGUUGUUUUCAUUAUUAGAUGACAAAAGUAGAUUCGGUUUAGUUGGUCUUUUUUUUUCCUUUUUUUUCAAAUUCAAAAUAAUCUUACAGAACAAAAGUAACUAAAAAUAUAAAUAUAAAUAAAGAGAAAAUGAAGGCAUGCAUCGAACAAAAAAUGGCUAUUUAUUGGUUCAUUUCCAUUUUCAACUCAACCAUAUAUUGAACAUUUGUUUCAUACUUAAAUUUGUACAGACUUUUCAAGGAAACAUUCUUCAUUUAUAUAUAUAUAUAUAUAGAUCAACUUCAAACGAAAUCUACAAUUCUAACCUUCAUAAAAUAAAACUUUAUUAUAGCAAAAAAAAAAAAACAAUAAAAUAAGGAUAGUAAAGACAAGAAAAUCAUUUUAUAAGAACUAAACCAAUGGCUGUGACAAUAAGAGUUGAGGGAAGUCCAAAUUUAAGAUGAUUCCAGAAGGAUAAAUUGUAGCUUAGCUGUGGAGUGCGACGAGCCUGUUCACACACAAUCAAGUUGGCAGCUGACCCUAACAAUGAGAGAUUUCCAGCUACAGUACUGAUCCAAGCUAAAAGAAGCCAUGCCCGUUUUUCUUCGGUUGGAGAAAUUGCAGCAGCCGAUGCAGCGACUCGUGCUCCAAGCAGAAGAACUAACAAUAUGACAACAUAAAAGUAUAAGAUACAGUUGCACUUUCGUAACGACUGACAGGUCAACCGAACCAGAGAAUUAAAUCAAGAAAAAUUAUGUAGUCAACUCUUUUUAUUCAAGAUUUAAUCAAAUGAAGAUAUUAAUUUGUUGAGUUAGUACCUAUCUACCCUAGAUAAUCAUGAAAUCCUGAGCUAACAACCUGGGUUUUUUCCUGUCCGUUCAUUGCUUUAUACUACGAAAACGAAUUUGUGUUUUGUCAAUAUGUUCAUAACCUCAAUCUUACUCGUACAUAUCAGAUGCAGUGAUCGUCUAAAUAAUCAGAUAUUUCUUCACAGAUUAUUUUGUGCAUUUCAAAUCAUCCAACACCAAAAACAUGCAAGUAACAAACUUCAGGGUUUCUAUCCUAUAUUGGAAUCUUCAUUCUAUGAAGGCUAUAAACAUUCAGAAGAGGAAAAUGGAAGAGGUAAAAUAUGGAAAGCAAGCAACAGUAAGAGGAAAAGUAGUCAAUACCAGUAGGCACGUUUGAAGCCAAGUUUGAGAGGUACAGUAUGACAAGAGCAAGAACUACAGUGCCAGAAACACGAUCAAUCUGUGCAUGCGGCUCCAUGAAAUUCCAAAAAGCACUUGGCAAUCCAGUUUUGUUAAAUCCAUCAACCGUCAUAAACAUCCCACAAAAGAAAACUAAAAGUGAAUAUGAAACCUGUGGAAAUAGUAAAAAAAAAAAAAAAGAAUUGUUAAAUUUCAUCGAAAAACUAGAAUUUGUAAUGAUUAAAGAUGGGCAAAGAAAUAAUGGUUCAAACCUUUUCUAGGCAUGGCUGAGCAUCCUUGAAAUCAAGAACCACAAGAGCGAGUGCAGCAGUCACGGCAGUCCAUGACAUAUCCAAGCCCAUCAAUAAAGCAACAAGCAUUCCUACAGUCACAAGAUAAACACAGGAUUUCCAUGCAAUCCUUCUCCAUUUGGUGCUCCAAUGUUCCUUCCCUUCUGAGGACUGCAAAAUUACAGGUUCUUUCUGUUUUUCCAUUGAGUUGAGGCUCUUAGAAGAGAAAUCUUCUUCCCUUUUCUGAGUAGACGCAUUGGGCAGCCACUCUUUUGAAGCAUCAGAUAUUCUUGCCGGCUCCGUCAUAGUACUAUGAGACCUGCGGAUUUCUUCAUUAUCUUUUGAACUUACUGAAUUUCUUAUAGUUUCCACAUUUGUGUUCGAGCAUGGAGGACUUUGUGCGUUCAUCAAAUCCAAUCGAGAAUCCCAUUCUGCAGAAUUAAGGGAUGGAAUUUGUGAGUGUGAUAAUCUGGCUGGUGAAAAUCUGUGAGAAAGAACAUCUUCAUCGGCAAUAACUUCUGGUGAUGGAUCUUCUUCAUCCUUCUGGACAGAUAACAAUUUCCAGUACAUGAUAAGAAUAAUUAAAGCAUUUACAACAACACCAACAAGCAUAGCUGGGAGUAUUCCAAUCACAAAUUGCCCAAAAUGAAUUUUACUCUGGACAGCUAUGACCAAGUUUUGGGGGUUGCCAAUCGGUGUUGCUGAAGAACCAAUAUUUGCACUCGAUGCAAGGGCAAGAAGGAAGGGGCGGGGAGGAAGAUUAUGUUGCCUGGCAAUUUUUAAAACAAAUUCAGUCAAAACCACACAUGAGGUGUCAUUGGUGAAAAACGCACUUGAAAUUGCAGAUAUCAGACACACUCGACAAAUUAAAUCCUUUGCUCCUUUACUCUUCCACGACAGCACCUUACCCAAAUACUUGAACAUAUCAGCUCUUUCAAGAUAAACACUAACUACCAUUGUUCCAAACAGAAGACCAAGUAUUGGGAGAUCAAUGGCCGCAUAUGCUUGUUCUGGAGUUAGGACUCGAAAUACGACCAUGAGCAUUGCCCCUAGGAUAGAACCUGCUGUUCUCCCAAUUGGUAGAAAUGGGAUAGCAGGGAAAACAGCUAAUAACCAGAAGACUGCGAAGGCAAUUGAGCCUAGAAUGACUUUUACAGUAUGAUCCAUGGCCAUGUUUGCAAUCAGAUUCAACUCGAGUCAGCUUUGAACCUGAUUGACUGGAAUUUAUUUCGAAUGUCUUUUCCGCAACACAGUACCUCAGUAUCUUGAAUCAACUACUCAUCCAAGCCAAGCUGAGAAGAAAAAUUAGUUUAAAUAACUUAAACAGAGUCAUAUGAACAAAAAUAAACUAUAACCAAAAUGAUAGAAUGCAAGGAUAAGGGAGACAAGGGAAAAAAAACAGUACUACAAGGAACCUGCUAUUUAGCUUGAAACGAUGACAAAAUUUCUGAACAUAAACCAUCAGUGAAGAAUUUAUAUAUGAACCAUCUAACUUUCUAAAAGCUAAACUCUAAGAGAUAAAUGUUGAUUGAGCCAACUUGUACCCAUUUCUUCUAUAUUUUAACUUUGAAGAUAAGAAGUCCACUUGCCAUGUAACAUUAAUUUAGAAAAAGUUCAAGCAAUAUAUUGGGAAUGAAUAUUAAUCUAAUAGCUAGAACUUUUAGAAGUAGGACUCAUACAAUUGUAUAGAAAAGAGCAUGGUAUCCAACAGUACUAGACACUCUGCUUUUUCACCCACUUCUAAAACAGAUUACCAACUGGAUCGUAUUUGGGUAGUGACAUUAGUUUCUAAGUAGCCAUUGCCAUGGAAUUAAGAACCCAAAUCUUCAAAGAAUAAUAGUGGAAAUACGAAAUUCAUUGACCAAUAAGAAUAAGAGAUGGGAACCAAAUUAAAGGUAGCAAAAUUAGAUUAAAUUACAAAAAGUAAAUGCGGGUUUUUCAAAUACUUCAGGAAAGGGCGGCUCUAAGCUCUCAUGGCUUAAAAAUGGAACUUCAAAACCUCCAAUACAACCAAUACAAAUACAUCCCAGAUUGAGAAGUUUAACAAAUUCAAGUUUAAAAGACAAAAGAUUAAGAGGGCCCCAACAUCAAAAGAGGAAAGUGUGUAAAAAUGGACUGCAAAUUGAUACACUACCAUUGAAAACAGAUCAUCAAAAACUAUAAAGACGAAUCAACUUUUGUAACCUCCUUAGUGAAAGCUUAAAAGAACUUACAGAAAAAAUUGUUUGCAUCUGGAUCCAAAAAAGAAGAGAUCAAAUCUUGCUCUUUCUGUUCGAAAACGAAUAGGAAUCAAAUAAAAAAAAAUGGAUAUUAUGGAGGUUCUCACAGUAAUUGAGAGGAAACAAAAAGUUGAACAAACUUCAUUUCUGUCCACAUGGUGAGCUCUCGGCUUUUAUAUAAAAUAAUGCCUACCUACAUACGACAGAAUUUUUGCGUCAGUAAACAAUUUCAUAGCUAUUUCGUCGAGCUGUUCAAGUUAUCUGGGAAUGAGAUUCCUAAAUCCAUUAAUAAAUGUAACUCCUAUUUACAUUUUCGUAGCUAAAAAUAAAAAUUGAAACAAAUACUAUUCAUCGAUGUGUUCAGCAUAUUAGCCGUUCAUUUCAUCACAUACAAUUAAUUGUGAAGAUCGUGAAGCUUUUUUUUCAAACUAAUGGACAAAUUGGGAUAAGGGUUAGUAAUAAUUGAACAGAUUUUUAACCCUAAAACUUUUAAGAACCAUCCCUCAACAAAAUAUACCAUUUGUCCUAUCAAUUUCAUUGUAUCCAAUCUAUCACAGUCAGGGGCGGGCUCCACCAAUCGUCGCCGGAGCAGCCAUCGAUGUUUUUUGCUCCGUCGUCGAAGAAAUCGCGACUUUCUCAUUAAUGAGUCAAAGGCCCUACAAAAGAGGGGGCCCCUUAUGAAGCUUCUAGGCUGGACCAAGUCAACAGGUGCACCUGCAAACUGAAACUCAAGGUUGAAGAGACAAGUGGCGGCGGCGGCGGCAGUGGACGGUGGAUCCGCGGAGGAGGAAGGUGGAUCGUGGACCAAAUGUGGGGACGGAUGUUGGUGUUAUAAUUAAUUGUUCUUAUCUCUAUUAAUUUUUUUCUUUUCUUCUUUUUUUUGAAAAGUCAUUUAUUUUUUUCAAAAAAAUUAAAAUAAAUAAAUAAAUAAUAAAGAGAAGUGUUGCAAUUUCUCAUAAUCUCAUCAUUGAACUUUUUGUAGCAUUUAAUAAAAAUUUAAGCAAUCAUUUAUAAAUUUAAUACAAACUCAAUAAAUGUUAUAGUUGCAUGAAUUUAUCUUCUACACGUAAAUUUUAUUAAAUGCAUAUUUGCUGAUUAUCAAUAUAUAUAUAUAUAUAUUGUAGGUUAGGUGUUGUGUGCAUAUACAUUAGAGUUUAGACUAUUUGUGGAGAGAAUUGUUCGUAGGAUUCGAUACUGUUUAUAGAACUCUAUAUCUUACUUUUAUUUAAUAUCAUCUACUGUUGAAAAUUAUUCAUUUUACCUCAAUUUUUUUUUUAUUUUAUGUAAAUUUUUCUUAAUUUGAAUGUAACUAAUGGUUUCAAACCAUGUUUAAGUAAAUUAAUUUCUCAAUUAUAUUUUAUUUAUUUUAAUCGUAUUCAGUUUUAUAGAGUUAUAAUUUGAAUUUUAUUCAAACAAAUGUUUUAACAAAUUUAAUUUGAAAAUUAUAAGAUACAAUAAUCCUUUUUUUUUUUUUUAAUCUCUCCUUCACAUAUUUAACUCAAUGCAUUUUUAAUAACAACAAUAAUAAUAACCCAAUAACAAUGGAAGUAUAAUUAUAAAAGUCAAAAUGUACUUAUGUCCUAAAACAAAAAGUAUAUCAAAAAAAUUGUAAUAAUAAAGAAUGUACUUUGUUUUCCCUUUAUUUACUUGGUGAGAAACUUAAGCCUAUUAAAUACAUCAUAAAUUGAUUAAUAGAUAUCUUAUUUUUAGAUUCAAACAAGUGGAAGAUUUGAUUCUCCAACAAAUAAAUUUUUAUAAAGUUUUGACUUUUGAGUGAAGUUAUAAUACAUUUCAAUAGCAUAGGCUAGUUUUUAUUUUCAUUAGCAAUCUUCAAAACACUCAAACUAAUUAAAACGUUAUACAUAUGGUAAAGCAAUGUUAUACAUAUGUAUGUAUACAAACACUUUUAGUUGGUAGAUUAUAAAGCUUUCUAUGUAAAUUCACAUUUUAAAUCAAUAAAAAAGGAAAGAAAAAAACUUCUAAUAUCAGUCUACUUUAUUUAUUUGAGGCAGAUAGUAAUGUCUUCAGAUAUUUCUCAAAUAUGUAUCUAAUGCGCAAUUUUGAUAUAUUUAUGUUUUUACGUCAACGUUUUUUUUUUAACACAGAAGAAAGUAGCCUAUUUAAAAAAUUUAUUGUCCAAAACUUACGAUACAAGAAAAAAUAUCUUGACCGACGUAUAAAAGGAAAAAAAAUUAAUAAAUAAAAGGCUUUACCCUAGAAUCAUCAAAUUCUAUCUUCACGUUUGAGUCCCUACAUAUGUAAGUUUUUUUUUUUUCUUGUGGGAAAUUUGCGAUGGAUGACUAUUUUAGCAAUAAUAAUUAAGGAUAUAGCAACAUUUUUAAAAAAAUUGCAAAUAUAGCAAAACUAUCACUGAUAGACUUGUAUCGCUGAUAGACUUCAUAUGGUAUAUCAGUGAUAGACCAAUAUUUGCAACGUGGUCUAUCAGUGAUAGACUUAUAUCAUUGAUAGAAUUUGACAAAUUUUGCUAUAUUUGCAAAUUUUUUAAAAUUGUGUUAUAUACUUAACUAAUUUGAAUUUAAUUGCUAAAUUUGCAACUAUCCCUUUUUUUGUUGCUUGAUUUGUGUUCUGUACUAUUAUAAUUAACUUGACAUUUGAUGAUUUUUAGUACAUUUAGUAAAUUACAUGUUCAAUUUACCUAUACUAUAGACUUUUAUUUAAAAGAAAAACGUGCCUUCAACGUAUCAAUAUCUUUAUUUUUUAUAAAUUGACAUAAUGUCGUGUCCUACCAUAUUUGUUUAUAUGCUUCGUACAUCCAUAUUAAAGUGAAUUUUUUAAAAAUAGUUUUUUUUUAUUUUUCUUGGCAUUUAAAUUAAAAUGAAGUUUUAAAAAAACCACAUUUUAUCUCUAAUUCACUUUUAGAAAAUUAAUCAUCGUGGAUUGGUUCAAUAAUUAAAAAGAGACAUAACUCCAGAAGUGAUUAAUAAGUGAAGUUUAAUAUAUGAUGUCUAUCUAUCUAAUAAUAAUUUCUUUAAGAGACAAAUCAAAUAAUUUUAUACAUGUACAAAAAUUAGAUUAAAGACUAACCUUUACCUUUAUAAAAAUAUCAUAACAUAAUUUAAAUUUAGAAUUGUUUGAUUACUAGUAAUUAAGUCCAAAGUUUAUACAAAUACACCAUUCAACUCAAAAUAAAAAUUUUAGUAAGUACAAAUAAAAAUAAAAAUAUUAUAUUGGUUAAUAUAUUUUAGAUUAGGUUUUAUUUUAUUCUCUAUAUUUUCAAUUUUAGAUCUCAUACACUUAAUAAAUCGUAAACUCAGCCAUUCAAAAUUAAUUUUUAUUAUCAAGUUUUCUUUUUUUUAAAAAAAACUAUAAUUGCUUUUCUAUGAGAUAUGUUUUCACAUUUAUAGAUACAAUAAUGCUCCUAAAAUCAUCAUUUAAAAACACACCAUAGGUAGAAUUGAUCAAAAUCAAAAGUAUACAAAUCUAAAAUAGUAUUUUAGUCAAAUUAUAACCGAACUUUUUACGUGUAAGAUGAAAAGUUUAUAUAAAUUAUGUUGACAUUUUUAACCUAAUAUACGAACUGAACAUUUUACGUGGAAGAUGAAAAAUUUAUACAAAUUAUCGUUGACAUUUUUAACCUAAUAUACAACCGACCUUUCCACGUGGAAAAUUAAAAGUUCAUAUAAAUUAUCGCUGACAUUUUAACCUAGCUAAUUAAUAUUUAUUAUUUAAUGUAUACCUAUGAUUGAACUAUAUGAAAGAGGGUUGAAAACAAAACACAUACUAUAUAUUAAUAAAGAUAUGAAAUUAAGUUAAAACACCGUAGUCAAAAGUCAUCAUAUAUAUAAACUCAUUUAAACCCAAAUAAUUAAUAAUGACUUCAAGAAGAAAACCAAUAAUAAUGUAAGUAUAUAAGUGUCAAAGUCAAAAGUAUGUACUAAAAAAAUAUGAGUAUAUUUUAAAAAAAUUGUUGCAAGUAGAUAUAUAUAUAUAUAUAUAUAUAUAUAUAUAUAUAUAUACAUCUAUAUUUUGUAAUUUUAUUUCUAAUUUGUUUAUUUCAAUUAUUUUUAGUUUAUUUUCAAUGUUUUCAUUACAUCCCACUUUUCUAUUUUGAAAUUGUUUAUUAUUAUUAUUAUUAUUAUGGGUUUAUUUUGCACUUUAUUUCUAGAAGUUUUAAUUAAGUUAUAAAUGCAAAUAUAAAUGCUCUUUCUAUCUUCUAACCGCUUUAUCUCUAAAAUUAGUUGAAUAUCUUAGUUUAGGAAGAAAAUUAUGAAUAAUGUUGAUGUGUAAAUUAUAUUUAUAAUUAUUCAAAAUGUAUGUUUAUCAUUCAAACUAUAUCUAACAAUGAAAUAAAUCUUGAGGACAUGAAAGUAAUAUUAAAAAAAAUUUAAAAAGAACUAAAAGUUAAUAUUCCUCAAGAAAGUAAUAUUAAAAAAAAUUUAAAAAGAACUAAAAGUUAAUAUCAUAUACCAACAAUGUGCACUUUCCUUUAUGAUGACUUGAUGAUAGAAACUUCAAAGUUAAGUGUGCUUAGCUUGGAACAAUCCUAUGUUUAGAUAACCUCUUGAGAAUAUUCCUAAGAUGCACGUGAGUGAGGACAAAACAUCCUGAAAGGACUCAGAUUGGUAUUUUCACUCUAAUAAACCUUUAAAGAUAGUAAAAGUGAUUUUACCAAGUUGCAAGGGAAACAGCGCAAUGUCAUAGAUCCAAAUUCCAAAUUAUGAUUUAAAUAUUGGGUUUGUGACGUUACAAUAUAUACACACGUAAUAUUUGGUUUAAUAUUAUUUUACAAAAUCUCUAGUGUUACUUUAAUUUAUUCUACCCUUGUAUACUUUUUAAAGUAUAGAAAGAAAAAAAAAACACAAAUUGAAAUUAUAAGGAUUAAAAUGAAUAAACGAAAGUAUAAAAAUAAAAUAAUAUUUAACUCUAUUUUAUUUCAAGGUUGGGUCCAUUAGAAUGAAUUAUAUCUUUGAUCCUUUUUUAUACUUUUUUUUUCUUUCAUUUUAAGAAUUCAAUAUUAUAUACAUGAUAAUGAUGCAUGUUUCAUUUUUCUCUUUUCUUUUUUAGUUAAGAGUCCUUUUUUGAGGUUUUUUAAAAGAAGCAAAUUAUAAAAUAGAUUAAGUUUGUGAAUAAAAUAAUGUUAAUGAAAACAUGAAUAUAGAAAGGAAGGUGUUACGUACUAAAAUUGUGACACGUAUCAUUAAUAGUUUCUUACCAAAAAAAUGAGACAAAUAAAAAGUAGACACAUAAUAUAAUGUGCAACAUUUAAUUAAACGUUGAAAACCAAACACUAAGAUACAAAAAAAAAAAAAUAUAUCAUAUGAUUUAGUCAAUAAAUAUUAAUUGGUUCUAAAUUUAAACAAAUAUGUCAAAGCAAAAGGAAACUAGGGCAGGACCCACCCACUAUUUCAUCAAUAAUACAAUUUGUCUUACCAAGAAAUGUGUGAAAUGCUAUUCUACAUUUUCAAAUUAUAAAUUGAAAACCAACAUUUUAGUGUAUAUAUCAAUAGAAGUUUAUAAAUGUUUGCCUCUCUCAGUAUUUAUCAUACAAAUUGUUAUAUAUUUUUGUAGAUAUUUUAUAAUUUUGUUAUUAAUUACCCUAGCUUUUAAAAAAUUCAAAAAGUUUGACAGCUCUCUCGAUUUUUUAAAACGUAUUAUUGCAAAGUGCCUCAUUUGAGAUAUUUUUUUUACUUUAUGACUACGUGAUAAUCUUAAUUAAUUAAAAUUUGUACUAAUACUAAACGUUUUGUGUUCGUGUGAAUGGAAGUUUACUGUAAUAAAUGUUGGGGUGGAGAUUUGAAUCUGAGACCUCUUGUCUACAUGAACAUACAGGUGUCUGUUGAGCUAAGCUCAUGUUGGCAAGUCUAUCAUACUUUAAUGUGAAAGUUGAUAUCGAAAUAAUAGUUUAGUUUUGCGGUUAAGUAUGGUGAAGAUUUUAUUUUAGCGAUUACAUGUUUUUCUUUUUUAAAUUUGGUGUUGAUUUCAAAUAUUUCUUUAAACAAUUUUUUUGUGUGAUGUUUUUUCUCUCUUUGUUUUAAGAAAAAAAUUGGAUUUUAAAUAAAAAAAUUUAAAAACUAGAAAAGUUUUUUAGAAUCUAUUUUCUUUAGUUUCGAACAAACAAAAAGUUGACUUUCUUUUUGAAAUUUAACUAAAAAUUUAUUUAUUUAUUGUUCAAAACAAACCAUAUAACAAAAUAUACAGGGAGUGUAAUUUCAUAAAUUUUAAAAGUAAAAAACGAAAAAUAAAAUCGUUAACAAAUGAGGUUUUAGUUAUCUAUUCACUUCCUGUAAUACAUUAAAUUGUCAUUUUAAUCAGUCUAGUAAUUCAUUUACUUAUCAAUUGAGUAUUAAAAGUAGUAUAAUUGAUAGGGGUAUCUAUGUGUUAGAGGACACGAGUAGAUAGACAAAUCUAGACUUGAUAAUAUUAUCUCACACGACACACGUGUUGUCGUCCGUUCGAGUAGGGUGAGGUGAGGUAAGGAAUAAAAUAAUAAUAUUAUGUUUUUUAAUUAAAUAUUUAUUUAUUAAAUGAUGAAAUGGUUUUUUGUUUAACAAAUUUUUCUUAUCUAAUUUUAUUAUUGUUAAGACAUUUUUCACUAUUGAACCAUUACAUUUCUAACUGUUGAACCAUUUCUAUUCUUUUAUUUGAACCAACCCAUAUGAAAGGGCUCCUCCACUAUUCAUUCAUUUUGAGUAUGCAAAAAAAUACUUAUACAUUCCAAUUUAUUCUUUCCGUCCACCAUCUUUGUUUCAAAUAAACUUUUAUUCUGUUUUUCGAGCACAAUAAAAAGGUGUAUUAACAUUCGAUCGGGUUCCAACGCAUAUUUGAUCGAGACAAAUAAUAUAUGGAUUGUUUUAUCCUGGGGAUAUCGUAUCAAUUUUCAAACUGCUUACACACGAGACAAAGUAUCGAAGCUUCUUAAAGAGAGUGUGAUUCACAACUUAACCUUCUUUUAGGGCCUUUGUUUUGCAAAUUCUCCUUGAAGCUACUAGUUUAAUUCUACUUUUCAUUCUCGUGGAUGUACAGGAGUUGCUGAAUUUUGCCGUUAUAUUAUAUAUUCAAUUUGGGUAUGAAUGUAGUUGUUGUAACAUAUUGUCAUAGGGUAUUAAAAUGAAUCUAAUAAUGGGAAUAAUGGAUGUGAAGAGUAAACUAGAUUGAAUAAAGUAAGUCGUAAAUAGGUGUCUUAAUGAGAUGAAAUCCACCCAUAUUGAGUUGUAAAUUAGAGAUAUAAAAGCUUAAACACUUUAUUCAACCUAACUCAUGAUAACUUAUUCCAUUCCCAAUGACAAGUUAUAAAUAGAAAUUGGACUAAUAACAAAAUGUUGUUGCACUUAAUAACACCUACGACACCAUAGAAAAAAAAACCCCUUUUUUCCUUAAAGAUAAUACAUAAUAUCUAAAAGUUGCACACCAAUUUCUUCAUUAUAUUAAUUCAUCUAAACAUCGGAAAACGUCAAACUACCUUUCAUUAAUGAACCAUAAUGUAUCUAUCGUUUUUGAAUAUUUGUUUCCUCUAAAUUGACUUUUUAAAAAAACGUUUGGAGCAUAGAGUGAGUUAUUAUAAUACGUGGUUAUUAUGGUCUGUGUUUGGAGAGUGAGAAAUAGUGACAUAUGAGAAAUAAGAAAAAAAAUAGAAUAGUCAUAAUUUUAAUCCUAGAAUUAUGAUUACCACUUGAGUAAACAUGAAAAACGUCCACUCCACUUCUUUGGGGUCAAACGUCCCCUUAAAAUGUAUAUAAUUUUCUAUCUUUUACUACAUUAGGUAAAAUAAGACUCAAUUUGAUAUAUUUUUUUCAAAUUAAGCUUAUAAAUACUAUUUUAACUUUUAUUUUUUUUAUUCUUUGAACGUUUUAAAAAAUUAAGUUAGGGUUUAAAGUGUAUAUAUAAUAUUAAUUUUUUUUCAUUUAACUAAUAAAAAACUAUACUUUCAAAAUUUUGUACCAAACAACAAAUUUUAAAAGAAAAUUUGUGUUGAAAUGAGUUUAAAAGUUGUCAAAAAUAGAAAAAUUGAUAAAUUACUGUAAAAAAAAGUUUAAGUAUAAUAAAUUAUUUUUUAGUGAUUUUUUUCGUGUAAUAAGUUUUAUGUUUUUUUAUUAUUUUUUGAACGAUUAUUCAAAAAAAUAAUAUAUAUAUAUAUAUAUAUUGAGAAUUUUUUGUAAUUAUUAAAGUUUUUAAAGUAAAAGAGUUAUCCUUUUAACCCAAAUAUUUUGAGAAUUUUUUGUAAUUAUUCAUCGAUGUCGAAUAAAAUUAAUUUUCUCUUUCACGAAUUGUUUAAAUACUUUUAAAUUUUCCUUAAAAAAUAAAAAUAUGCAAAAUAAUAAGUAUGGCAAUAUUUUUAUAAUUAAAAUGUAUAUAAUACUUUUAAAACCUUAAUAUGAAUACUAUUCAUGUCUCUUAUUUUGUUGUUUCAUUUUUCUAGUUUUAGGAAAUUAAACUUUUAACCUCUUAAAAAGAAAAGAAAAGAAAAGAAAACCUAUUUUCUUUUCCAUUCAACUAUUUUUGAUAUCUACUAAACACUUGAAUUAUUAAGGAAUUAAUGAAAAAUAUUGUUUUGACAAAACAGUAAACACUUUUGGAAUUGUAUGCAACGAUAAGGCUGCUUCAUUGACAUGAUAUAAUAUCUGAAUGCACCAACACACUUGGGAAAAUAAUAUAUACUUUAUUCAUAAAAAAUAAAAUAGAUAACCAAAUCUUUUUAACUUUUUACUUUUCAUAUUUUUAAUUUUAGUGAUUCACAGGUCAAUAUGCCAUUAAGUACACUUUUCAAAUGCUAAUUAACCCAUUAAUUAAUUAGUAAACUAAAACACAACUAGUGCUACUUCUUUUAUUAUUUCCCUCUUAUUUUAAUUUACCACUCCCACUUCACUCAAUCCAAACAAAUUAUGCAUAACCAAUUUUCUUUUCCUCUCUUUCCUAACUACAUUUUUAAAUUUAUCAUAUUUUAUAAAUACUUUUAAUCGUUCUUCUUUUUCUUUUUCUAAUUUGUUUUAAAAUAAAAUAUUCACAUAUCAUAUCUACAUUUGAAAACAUAUAACUCAUUGACAAUUAGUUAUUUUUUUAAAAAAUUUAUUAGUUCACAAAGUAAGUGAUAAGUGUGACAAUUCAUUAAUUAAUACCAAAAAAAAUAAUGCAAAAUACUUUAAGAUUACCUAAAUAAUCCAAUUAGUUUUGAUUUUUUUUUAUAUAGAGAUCAACUAUCAUCUUUAAUUAGUUCUCCUUAAUCAAUUAUUAUUGUUGUUGAUUUAAUCGACUUUAUUUUUGUUGGUCGAGAUGCUCACUACCCCUACUUGUAUCAUUGCAAAUGUUAUUUGUUUUUAUUUAUUAAGGUGGUAAAGUGCAUGCCUCCCCCAUCUAAUUAAUAAGUAUAACAACUAGUUGUUAAAAAAAAAAAUACAUAAACAAAUUUAUUUUGUGAUAUUUUCAUGCAAUUCUAGUACUAAAAAAUAAUUAACCAAUAAACAAUCAUAUAGUGCUUUUUUUCUUUUUUCUAUUUUAAUAACCACGCGUCCGACUUAGUAGGAACAUUAUUCUUCCAUCACUAAACCAAUUAGCAAUAAAAAGAUCUAUCUUAUAAAGAGUGUAUGAUCUUUUGAUUUUUUGAAUGUGAAUUUGUCAUAAUUUGUUCUCAAGAUGUUGUUAGUUUGAGUUUUAUGAGUCAAAUUUUGUAUUAUUCAAUUAGUUUUGAGGUGUUGUUUAUGAAAACCCAAAAAGAAGGAAAGAGUGAGGCACAGAAUGUUUAGGCAACGAAUUAGAAGAAAAAAAGAUGCGGAUAUUCCAUGAAUAUUUGGAAAUAUAAUAAUAUUAAAUUAAAAAAGAGAUGAAAAGAAAAGAAAAGAAAUUCCACUUUAUGGUUCCAUUGGAGGAACUGAACUGGUUGUACGGAAGAGAAAUGUGGAAGUUGCGAAGAGACGUCCCAAUUCCCAAUUCCCAAUUCCCACGUUCGUAUAAUUAAAUAUCGUUUCCUUAUUGUUUCCCAUGUCAUUAUGCACCACAUAGAUAUUAGAUACCCUCUAAUAUAUAUAUAUAUUUCUUUUCUUUACUAUAAAACUAUCCAUUAACUUCUUUAAUUUCUAGGUUACAUGCUUCUAAGUUUUAUAACAUUUCCCUUGCCGUCCUAACAAUUAUUAUAAUCUUUUCUUUUUCUAAAAAAAAUAUUCAAAUAUAUUAUCAUGUGAGAAUGUUAUUUGCUAGUAACUUUGGACGGAUGAAAAGUGUUCUUACUCUUUUAAUCAAGUUACUACUAAACGAGAGAACAAGACGAUUAUUUUAAUCUACAAACACUACUAAGAAUAAUCAAUAAUAAAUAAUUAAUUCUUCUAGAGUCAUAAUUAAAUGGAGUUUUUUUUAUAAAGAAAAAAUAAAAAAUUGACAAACCAUUUACCUUUCGGCUAAUAUUUUGGGAGAAUGUUCUAAUUUUGACCAUUUACCCUGAUAAAAUCCAAUUUGAAAUGAAAUUACCCAUUACAUUCUAGAAAGUUUUAUAUAAUUUAAUUUACCAUGUAAAUAGUAAAUAAUUUAAAUGUUUUUACAUACUCUUCGGUGCAUUUUUGUACUAGAAAAUGUAUAAAUUAAUAUCAUAAGUUUGAUAAAUGUUUGUUUUAAAGAAAAAAAAAAAAGAGUGUUUCCCAAAGAGAAGAGAUUAAGACAAUAAUUUUGUGGGACUUGGGAGUGUAUUCGGUGGCCACAAAAAUGUUAAUGGGAAUGGUACGGACACCAAACCCUUACUUUGUUCUUUCAGAAAUUUUAAUUUUGUUUUACAUUAACUUUAAUCCUUCUUAUAAAAAUAAUUAUUCUUAGUAGAAUAAUACUUCAGAUUCCGUACAACAAAAUCAAUUAGGUAUGAAUUGAUUUUUUUAGUAUAAAAUCGAAAUCAUAGUUUGUAUUUUGAAAAAUAAAAGUAUUAGCUUUGGUCGAUUUUUUUAUAUAAAAAUCAAUCAAAAUUUAACGUAACCGAAACUUAUAUGUAUCCUUAAAAAUAGAUAUAUGUAUGCAUAUAUUUAGUACAUUCUUAAUGGUUGCAAGUACAUUUGUUGUUUAGAAAAAGAAUAAAGAAUAACUCUUCUCAAAACAUGCAUGCUUAAGUGAAGAAAAAUAAACAAAAAUGUCCAAUUUAAUAUAUAAAGAAAGAAAUUGACCCAAUUUUUAUUUAAAAAUAGAAAGAAAAAAAAAACCCACUUCCAAACAAAAUUGAAAGAAAAAUAAAAUGCAAAAAAAAAAGAAAGAAAGAAAACCAAGAACAAGAAUCCAUUAUUAUUAUUGUUUUUUACUAGACAUUGAUUUGAUUUGGUUAUUGGUUGUCUCCAAAACCAACAAACUACUUUUUAUCUUUAGUUGGAUUAGCUAUGAUACACUUAUGUUCGUGCAUUUCUUUUAACUAUAUACAAAUCGUAAACAAAAUAUUAACUUUUUUUAAUGAAAAAAUUCACUACGUAAUAACCUUAACUUAGUUUUAAUUAAACAUUUGAAUGAAGUAAGUAAUUUUUGUUUUGUUAAUCCUCCGUAUAUAUGCGUUAAUUUAAUUCUCUAUAAAGUUAUUAAUAAGGGGUAGGGUACUACUCUAAUUGUGACAAUCUCCUACCUAUAUUUGGUCCCAAUGGGUGCUUCUUUUUGGAGAAAUUAAAGUGUUGUUUGGAGUAGUGAAAUAUAUUAGUGUGUAAUGGGAUUAGAUAUAAAGUACUUUAAAUUGGGAACUCAUAUUUCAAUUCUUCAAAGACCUUCUUGAUUCCCAGAGAGACUACUUUAGACACUAUUUCUAUCAAUCCAUCUAUCAAUCUAUCUACACUUACAAUCGUGAAAGAGUAUGGGAACGCAUUAAUAUUACAUCUUUUUUCUUUCAAGGAAGAGUGGAUGAUCUCUAAAGUUUUCAAAUAAUUUUAAACCACAUCUCACACCAACACCGAAAGUUGUAAACUUCUAAAACAUACAGCGUAAGUAGUGACAGAUCCAAAAGUUUUGUUGACGAUAACUUUAUAUAAAGAAAUAAAAAACUAAAAAGAGUUAAACUUAAACAUAGGUCUAGAGAGACUAGAAAACAAAUUUAUAUUAUACUAGCUAAGGAGCUUUGAUAUUAUGAUAAUUUGUAAUAUAUAUAUAUAUAGUUCAUCACCUCCUACUCUUUCUAACUCCUUGAGCCAAAAAAAAAUCGAAUAUAAUGUCGCUAUUGAAUUGAAAAAAAAAUCUCAUUGCUACCUCAAAUCUUAUUUUAUAGUAUACAAAUUGAAAAAGAAAAAAACUACGAAACAAUAUUAUCGCAACAAAAUCAAGCUGAACUUUAUUAGAAUACACGUUAAAAUUGGCUUACUCUGCAAGGUUCUCACUUUCUCUUAUCCAUUACAUUUGAAUUUGUUAGUAUUAAAUAUUAGAGAAAAUAUCAACAAAUUCAUUCUCAUAUUUUAAACGACGUUCAUUUAAACCUAGUUUGAAAAAUAUCAAACAAAAUAUAUAGUCUUGAAUUAAACUUCUACGUUACUAUAAAUUUAUACCAUAUCAUUAAUUUGAGAUUUAAAUAAUUAUACAACUCUAAAAUAUAUUGAUAUAAAUUUGUAUAUUAAUAGUAUAUAGGUAUGUUUCAACCAUCUAAUAAUCACUUUCAUCUUGAUUGAGUUGUGGUGCAAUUAUUUCUUCUAUUGAGAUAAAUGUUGGAAUAUAUAUACAUAUUGGAAAAUAAUAAUCACUUUCGAGUACCCAAAAUUAUCUCUAACUUCUAAAAAUUAAGUUUAUAUUGACUUAGUAAAUUAGACUUACUUUUACUUUUGAUUUCUUUUUAAAUUCAAAGUGUCUCAAACUAGUAUAGUACAUAGUUUAAACUAAAUUAGUGUCAUGAUAAAAUCCAAAAUUACGUAGAGAAAGAAGUGAUAUUUAAUACAUUUUUAUCAACUCGAUUAUACGUUGGGAUGGACAAUGAAAUGAAGACUAAACUUGGGAGGGAUAAAAGGGUUGGGGUGUAUUUCUAUCCCAUGUUUGAUAUCUAUUUACUUAAUGGUAAAUUGAAUUUCAUCUACUUUAUGCAUUUAGACGAGUGUCCAUUUAAAAUGGCACUCAAGCAAUAAUAUUAUCUUUACUUUUGUUCAUAUCCUUUGCCUUAAAAGAUUACGCAAUAUAUAUGAUAUUGAACUAAUUGCUUGAUUGCAUGUUUAAUCUUUCUAGAUUUUUGUGGGUAGUUGGGCUUGCUAAUUGCUAUACUAAAGUUCUAGUCAAAUACAACAAUAAUAAUAUCAUUGAAAUUCAACACAAGCAACUUCAAUUAACUUUUAAUUCGAAAACAAGCACGCCACUUAGUCUUCCCUUCUGAUUUUGACACAUUUCUAGACUUAGUAGUUAAACGUGUACUAAUACUUACAUCACUAUAAUGCUUAACAUAAUGGUAGCAUUUGAGUUUAUGAGAGAUUAAUCGAGAAUGCAUCCAAACGAGAGAGACAACCAUAAGAUAUAACAACUAGUUAUACCUGAAAUGUGUAUUUUUCUUUUUAAUGCUCAUUUAUAAGAAUUUCAAAAUUACGAUUGUUGUUAUAAUGACACUCUUACUUUUUUUUAAUUUCAUAAAUUACUUUUUUAUAUAUCUAAAGUUUUACUAUUAAACUUUUUAGAAAAUUCCAAUUUAUACAUUUAAAUUUUGAAUUUUGUAUCCAUUUAAACGAUUUAAACUAAUAAUUAUUGUAACAAAAAAUUAUUUUUGUCCGAAAAAAUAAUAAUUGUAAUGUACAAUCAAAUCCUCAAUUUGUUUUAUUUAAAAAGACAAAUCCCCACAAUUAAAGAAUGGUUACAAAAUUAUUAAAAACUUUCACAACUUUAUGAGAAAACAUACUGACCAUUCAAAAACAAUUGGUUUAACAUUACAAUCGCAGUGGCGUCCAAUUUUCGCCCCAUAAAUGAAGCUUUUAGAAAAUUAUACCAAUAAAAUGGUGACACCCUCCAACUUUAUAACUCUCUCUUCUCCUUUUCAAUUUUGCUCCAUACCCAUUUAAGAUUUUUUUAAAAUUAUUUCAAAUCACAAAAUUACUAAAAAUAUUUAUAAAUAUCAAAGAUAAACGAUGAUAGAUAGAUUUAUUUUAAUAAUAUAAUUAUCCAAAUCUAGUUCAUCAUUGUAAUUGGUUAAACAAUAAUAAUAAUUUAUUUCAAAAGAAUGUUGCUUACAACAAUGAUGUAUCAAAUACACAAAAAUCUCAAAGUCUAUUACGACAUCAUUGUCAAUAGUAGCAUCCAAAUAUGGAUGUAUAAAGAGAAAGAAUCCUUUCUAAUAACACUGGAGAAUAGAAGAAUGGUGGUUGCGUUGAAGUUUGAAGCUAUGAAAGCUAAGGAAGAUUGGAAUGGAGGGUAUGGUUAUUUUGUAUAAGGUAAGAUAGAGAGUUAAUAAGCAUGAAGAUGACAGAGAGAAAAGGCCCACUUCUGGCUGUGAACAGCCUAAUGUGUUUGUUGGUUGGGGCAAGUGGGGAACUCAUAACAGAUUUCCAAUUCCCUCUUAAAUUGACCUUUUUUAUUUCUCUAUCUCUUAAGUAAUUAAACUGUGUUUUCUCAAAGAUUGAUUUUAAAUGUGACUUUCUCAUGGUAGCUCCUCUGUUGCUGUUCGUUAGUUCGUGUUGAUAGAAAAUGUGUCCCCUUUUCUCACCUCAAUUUUUCUCCUUUUCACACUUACACUUCUUUGUUUUUCUAACCUCGUGUUUGAAUCUCCCUACCAUUUUUCUCUGCUUUUAGUACCAUUAUUCACUCUACUUUUACUUUUCACUAUCGAAGUUUGAACAAUACACGAUGUUAACUAGGCGAGGGGAGAAGGGUUUGGCCACCCGAGUGGAAUUAAUAAGUUUAUGUUGGAGUUGUUAAGUUUGUGUUUGAGUACAGAAUUGUAAGUUGGAGUUUUUCAAUAAAUAUAAAACAUAGAUUAAGAUAAGAAAUUUUGAAGUUUUAGAUAAAAGGUAGAAAAUAGAGAUCAAUGAUAUGAUUGUGUUUCUUGUUAAAGGUGAAAAGUACAAGAAAAAGAGAAAGAAAAAUGACGGAUGUGUUUGGUAAAGAAUACGAAAAACAAAAGUUUGAAGAUAAUGAAUCUAAUGAAAUGUUAAAAAAAGUUGAUUUUAGUUAAAGAAAUGUUUAGAUGGGUUUUGUAUUAGAUAUUUAUAAACCAUAAAAUUAGUUUUACUUUUCCAAUAAGAUUUAGUGGACAUUAAGUUAAUAUUAUUUUAUUCAUGAAUGUAAUCUAUGUUUAAAAAAUUAAUUAAAUUGUAAUUUUAGUUCUUAUUGUUAAGAGAAAAUUGAAGUUUAGUCUAUAGUUUGAUAAAACCUCAUAUUCUUAUUAUUUGACAGCUUUGUUCCUAAAUAGUCUAUAUGAAUAAACUAUUUUCUACCAUUAUAUCAAAUCAAAAAUACUAAAUUCUACUUUCUUGUUUUUUAAUCUUUGGGAACUAAAUUUGUAAUUUAAACUAAAAAUUUAUUUAAUUAUUAUUUUAUACUAUUGUAUAAUUUAAAUACAUUAAGUAUUUUUUAAAAAUGAAUUGAGUUUAUAACAUGAAACAUGUAUUUCUAAAUUUCUUUUAUAUGUUUUUAAUAUAAUUUUGUUUUUCAAAGUGUAAAAUUCAAAUUUUGGAUACAACCAAAACAUCAAAAAAAGUUUUUUUUCAUAAUUUGCAAUGUUUGGAUUACAUAAUCCAAAAAACAGUUUUCAAAAACAUAAUUUGGAUUGUUCAUCAAACGCCUAAAUUUAAUGAAUCUGAAAAUAUAAAACAAAAAUAUGAUUUUCUACCAAACAGACCCAAAGUUAUUCAAUGUGCAACCUUAAUAGUGUUUACUAUUGAAGUUGAGUUAUUUACACCAAUUUAAGAAGUCGGUGGACCAAACGGGCAAAGAUGUUUGACCCACUAACUUCAUACUUCAAUCUUUAAUAACAAAACUUCAGUGCACUUUUACCGAUCUCUCUCUCUGCCACUAUUAUUUUUUAAAGACUUCAAAACUCAACUUAACACUCCAAUCAAUUUCUUAAUCAAAAGAUUGAAACGCUCGUUCGUAAAAAUAUAAGGAUUGAAAUAACAGGGACAAAAAUGAACAAAAGUUUAAAAUAUGAACCAACUCAUUCGUAAAAAUAUAAGGAUUGAAAUAACAAGGACAAGAACGAACAAAAGUUUAAAAUAGGAACCUUUUGAAAGUUAGAAAAUAUCUAGAAUUGAAGCAAAAAGUAUUUGAACAUUUUUCAAACCAGAAUUAAUUCCCUUCCUUGAGAAGGAAGUCUUUUGCCGUUUUUGUUUAGAUGGAGACAAAGUUGAAAAGAAGAGCCUUAUACUGUAUAGACUUGAAAGUUAUUAAAAUGAAGUUGUAUAUUUAGGCAGAUGGGCCAAAUUUACUGUGUCAUUUUCAUUAUUAUUGGACAUGUGAAACUAAACUAAACUACUUUGGGCUUCUCUCCAUUCUAACCUAACACCAAGGGAAACUUCUUCUUUCCUACAAGCUGUUCUUGCAACUUAAGAAGGAAGUCUUUCCGUCUUCUGUUUUUACAGUCCAGAAUAAGGUCCUAUACAUAUUAAUAAAACAACAUACGUUCUCAACUUUAGACACAUGACCUAAAAAAAUUAAGAUAUAAACAGUGAGUACAGUUUUGACAUGAAAAAACUAAAUUCAAGACUAAGUUUUCAAGAAAUGAUGUUUUGAUUGUUGGGGAAGAAUGAAAUUUCUUAUUAUUAUACAAAGACAAGAAAGAAUAAAGCACUUCCAAAAGAUCCUAUGAUUAUGAAUGAUCUACUUUUGAGCUAUGACAAAGAAUGCUCCUUCGGUACCCACACAAGUUAUCCCUAAUAACUACUUUCUUUUCUGAUGUCUAUUUGGGAAUACUGUUUUUCACAAAACAAACUUUGAAAAAACAUUCUUUUUCCUCCAAAUCAUUGCAUCACCUCCAAAGGAGGAUUACAUUCAAAUGUACAUUCAAAAGGGCUGGCUGUUGUUUCUUCUUCAUCUUUGUUUUGUUCUUUUUAGUGUUGGUAUCCUUUGUCAAAGUCAGCUGACGCCAGGUUGCAACAAUGGGAAGAAGGUCCAGUUGUUACCUGGACUAGCUUCCUUCACACCCACUUUCUCAUUGGCCCACCAUUCUGCACCGAUGGAGGCUGUGUUGUGUAUUUCUCCUUUAGUUUGGUCAAAGUUGAACUCUUUGAAUGAACCAAGAGUUACAGCUCGCUGAUUUUGGUAGCAUUGAUCAUCCUCUCCUGGAGUUUUUUCUGGUGCUGCGGAAGUCUUGAUGUCAAAGAACUCGCAAGUUUCAGCUUCUCUGGAUGAUUCUUUGUUUUCGUUUUGAUUGCUUGUGCUUGUUUGCUUCGGAGACUCAGAUUCAGUUCUAAUGGAUGUCAAUGACUUAUUUGCAAGACAGCGUGCAACAUCUUCACCAGUUAACUCAAAUGACACCCUAUGAUUUGUCACAUCAUUUUGGCAUCCAGUUUCUGAGUUGGCAAGAGAAGCCACCUCAGAUAUUUGGUUGUCCAACAAUGGACUAUCUUGCAAGCCAUGGCCCAGACCAUCAGGCGUCAAGGUUCCAGAACCCAAUCUUGAAUCUUGCCUCAUACCAUUUGGGGUAACAGAUCCAGAUCCCAAUCUAGAACCCAUUCCCAUACCAUCAGGAGUCAAAGUUCCUGAACCUAACCUAGAACAUAAACCGGUACCAUCUGGAGUCAAAGAUCCAGAACCCAUUCUUGAGAUCCAUUUGCGAGUUGUAAAAUGUUCAAGACCCAAGAGCUUCGGUGCAUCUGCCAUGCGGAACUCAAGAAUGGGGUGUUUAUCAGGAAAAGGAGAAGAUGUACCAGAGUUUGAAAUUACUGAUCCAGGUGAUAUAAGAUGAGCACCAGGGCUUCCUGGGUAGGGUUGAUAAGGCUGGAAAUCACAGUGUGAUAGCGUGAACUUUUGGUUAGUCCCAAAACUUUUAUUAGUAUGGCUUAGAGAAGAUGUCAGCAAUUUAGCAAAUGGAACUUCAGGAGAUGAGGGUGUAGUCAGUUGAACAGACUCAGGAGGAGGAGUAAUAGGAGCGGUUGAUGGUUCAGUGGUGAAGGCAGAAAAAACUGGAGGUGAGACCAACUGAGUGUCAUAUGUAUAAGGGCCUAUUGCAAAAAUGGAAGCAGGUCCAUUUGGGGAGUAGUUAUUGACUGAAAGAGCAGUUAAGGAUAGUAAUCCAGCAGGAGAUUGAGUAUUUGAUGUAGGUUCGGACUGGAGGAAAGAUGCAGGAGAAGAUGGAGGGGCAAUGAAAGGUAAUACCAUGGUGGUUGAAGGUGUUCGAUGCUCAACAGCAGGGGCAACGGCUCCUGGUACUGCAGGUUCAGGAACUAGUACAGCAUGACCUAUACGUUUAUUGCUUUUCUGUGAACCAAUGCCAAAGCACCAGUACAGACUCCAGCAGCUACCCCAUCUUCGUUUCUGUAGUUAAGACAACAAGAAAAUGUAAAUGAAAAGAUCAACAGGAAACAGAACAGAGACUUCAAUCUAGCUAAAACAGAAUCAUUAUUCAAGCCAUCAGAGCAGUACUAAUAACAACUAUUCAGAAGUCUAAGAACUUCAGCAGGUAAAACCUCCGGUAAGAAGCUCAUAAUCAUCGACUAUGUCGUGUUAACAACAAAACAUUACGUUACUUCCUCACCUCUCAUGUCAGGCAAUAGAGAAUAGACAGAACGGAAGAGAGUGGGAACAGAAAACCCUUCUUCAUCAAUUCAAAAUCCAAACUUUUAAUGUUUCUUGGCUAAAUUGGUUAGUAAACAAUUCAUGUUGUGUUCAUAUGCUAAAAAAAACCAAACGGUUUCAGAAAUUUUUGCAUAAAGCGGUAAACAGAGUUGAAAGUUUUACAAGUGAAAGCUAACUACCGUACGGCAUCUCAGUUUUGAGCCACCCGUUGAGGUCGAUGAUCGAUCUAUUUAAAGAGGUCGUAAGAUUAAGACUAAAGAUUUUGGCAGUCAAUUGCUCUGUGAUAAGAGCGUAUGAUAGCUCAAGCGGAACACCUUCAGGAGCAUAGAAUCUUCCUCUAAAGAGACGCAAAUUUUUGUCUGUCCCCAUCAAAGGAAUCCUCAACCCAGACCAAACUCAACCUUAAGAGAAGAAAACUAAAGCCCAAAAGAGCCGAAUAAAUUGACACACUGUACAGCGCUACAAGAUCCAUUAUCAAAAACAACUAAUUCAACAAAUCUGAUGACAAGUCCAUAAGAUCGCUAACUAAAUUGAUUCAAGUCCCACUGUAUGAGAAAUCUUACACCGAAUGAAUCCAAGUUCCGAAGGAAGUUAUUGCACAGAAUCGAGCAAAUCGCACUUGUAAUUAAUUACCGAACAACCUUAUGUUCCCCUUCCUUUCUGUUCUAAAAGCAGAUUAAUCGAAACUUUUCAAGUUGCUUUAUCUUCAACCGUUUACCAGCUAGACUAAUUAAGCAACAACUUUUUGUGAAAUUAAGAUUCAACGUCUUCACAAAAGCGCAACACCAAAAAAAAAAAAAAAAAAAAAACACCACCAACCGAAGCAGAAAGUACCAAAUCAAAGCCUUAGAAUCAAGAAACAAAAACGCGUAACCAACACGGUUUUCUCAAAUUAAAAAUUAAAAAAAAAAAUCGUUUAGAUCAUCAACCUUGAUGAGAUUUUCCUCAUCUAAACUGAAAACAGCAAACCAACACCGAGAUCAAAAACUCCAUUUCUCAAUCAAAUUACCGCACUUUUUUCUCAGUUCCAAAUAAAAAUCAAACCAGAAAACAAAUAAAGAAAAAAAAAUAAACGUACCGGAGGUGUGGUAGGCUGAACUCGAGCCUCAGCAGAAACGAUGGCAGUAGCGGCAGCAUUAACCGUAUCGACGCUGUUGUUGAUACUUGCCAUCCCCAGUUUCUUCGAAUCCAGAGAGCUCGGCCGGCGGAGUUCUUAACAAGGUCGCCGUGAUUUGGGAUCAAUCGAGGGCGGUAAGUGGCCGGGAAAAUCAAUUAGUAUGGAGUGAGAUUUGACAGGCAAAAGAAGGAAGAGAGAAGACUUUUGGAUUUGAUCUAAGAAAUGAAAAACUCAGACGAAGAAAGAGAGAGAUUGAAUUUUCUCAUUUUAUAUAUUUCCAAAUAAAUAAACAAAAUGAAAUUAUAAAUUAGGAAAUGUAAUAAAAAUGAAGAGAAAAAAGAAAAGAAAAAAAAAGAAAAAAAAGAAAGUCUUGUUGGUUGGUUGGCUCCUCUAAGGACUUAUCCUGUGGUUUUCCAAAAAAAAUUAGCACAUUUUUAUCAAAUUUUGAUAGGAUAAACUUAUUGGGACCCACUUUAAUAUUCAUAAAUCAUAAUUUUUAAUAUUAAUAGUAAUGUCCAUGAUAACUCUAUAAUUGCUAUUCUUUUCAUUAACCUAAAACUAAAUAAAUAAAUAAAACUUUGCCAAAUCUAUAUUCCUCUAAUAUAAUUAUAUACAUAUAUGCGUGUGUGUGUGUUAUUUCUUUGAGAAAAACGUGAAAAAUGGUAGAAUUAUUCAAAUAUAUUUACACCUAAUGGUAAUAGUUUUUUACCAAACAAAUUCUUUUAACGAUUUUAAGUUAUUUACUAAUUCAAAUUAUUUCAUUGUAGUUUUGGAGACUUACCAUAAAAUUAUAUAUGUUUUGAAAUUAGUUAGAUCUUAAAAACCUUCAAGUUUGACAAGGACAUCACUUCAAAAAAAAUUACAUGGAGGCAAAAGUUGGUAUUUGUUUAAAAGAAAUAAAAAUUAUAAAUUGUUUUCUUUUUUCUAGACAAAGCAACUCAAAAAUAGCUAAUUGAAAAACUAAUCUCACCUCCUUAUUGAAGACAAGAAAGAAAAUACAAAUAGAAAGACUAUCUUUUUGUAAAAACGAACAACUCCAAGAGAAUGUCAAGGCUACUAUCGUUUUAAGGAUGUAAUAAAAAUUGAAGUUUUAACAAAGUUGGGUAGAAAAAGAAUACUCUCGAACAAAAAUCGGUAAGAAGUUAGGUUAUACAAGCUAGCAUGCAAAAUACCUUUUGUGUUUUCAAAUUAGGGUUGAGUUUUAAUGCAACUAGUCAUCACUUACUUCAUUCUUCAUCUUUGUUUCCAUAUCCUACUCUUCACCGUAGACAUGUGUGGAAAGCAAGAAAAAUGAGAUAUGGAAACAACAAGGAAUUAUUCCAAUUGCAAGUAAAUUUAUGAACUAAAAUACUAUUUUUCUAAAUUUUAGUCAAUAUAUGUUGAUAAUUUUUAUCAAAAUUAGCUAGAAAAUAAAAUACUUUCAUGCAAUAAAAGUAAAUAUAUGAUAGAGUAAAAUACUAAUAACUAAAAACAAAAUUAAGAAUCAAUUAAUGAACAUUUCAAAAUAACAAAGGACAAAAAUGAAAAUAUUAACUCCAAAUAUUUGGAUUUUUUUUUUUAUAAAAAAACCCCUUGAACUAAGUACGGAAUUAGAAAUGAUUUGAGAAUGAGGGUGGGUUUUGCAAUUUUAGAAAAUAUAAAGUUUGUUAGUGAUAUUUCAAUGUACCCAUAAUUUCCGAUAGUGUUGUCGAAAAAAAAAAGGAAAGAAUUGUUUUCAAAUUGAUAUAAUUAAUUUAUAUCACACCCUCACAUCAUUAUUUGUUGACCCACAUUAUAAAUUUUUAUUCCUUUUUAUCCGUAUAAGUAUUUUUUUAAUUUGAAAACAUUCAUAAAAAUUUAUAAAAAGAAAAAAUAAAUAAGAAAAUAGAAUUUAUAAGUAAAAAAAGAAAAAGAAUUGAAUAUUAGAAAAUGUAGUUGGAAAUUAGAGAAGUAGAAGUGGGGUUGAGUAUAGAAGAAAUUACAGAAAGUGCCACUGAGGAAGGAAUAAGUGCAAAAGGGGUUGGCUUUAAAUGCGUGUCCCCAACAAUAAAAUGAAGUGCGUGAGAAACUCGUGAGUUCCUUGUGCUUUCAUUUAUGCUAUUUGUACUCCCCGGCACGUGACCCAUGUGACUCUCAUUCUGUGGGCCAUCCCAUCUCCCCCCAUCUAAUUUAAUGCUUCUCAUCUAACUAAUCAUACCCUCUUCAAAUCCUACCAUCUUUUUGGCUACAACACCAUACUUAACACUAACUAUGACUCAUCAUCCCUUCAUCCUAGUUGAUUUUUCGAUUAAAUUACUACUAAAUUGAUUAUAGUAGGUUUAGUAGCGUUUAAAUUGACCUCGGUCAUCAAUGAAUAAAUGUCAUUCGGUUUAAUAGUAAAAAAAACUAAAAAAAAAAUCUCAAUUUCAAACUUUUUCAAAUCUAUAUCGACUGAUCCAUCUCAUUCUUCAACAAAUCGACUUUGGUUUGGUCUAUUGACUUGAUAUUUUUUUUGUCUAUCAUGCUGACUCGAGCUAAUAGCAUGGUUUUAAAUAUCAAACUUUUGAGAUUUUAUGAAAUUUUGAGGUACAUUUUUUAAAAAAUUAUAAAAACAAAAAUAGUUUUAAAAUAAGCUAUUAUUUAUAUUAGUGUUGUAUUGAUAUUUAUUCUUUGAGUUUGAUAGAUUUUUUUAUGAUGUAAUGAAAAUACAAAUUCAACUUUCAUAUAUAUCGAGAUCGUAUAUAUAAGAGCAUGGAAAUGUCAAUGAAAAUAUUGAUGGAAACUUAAUGACAUAACUUAAUUAUUUGUAGUGAUGAUGAGUAUAAAUUGUAAACUAUAAGCGAGGCGUUAAUUAUAAAUUUAUAAUAAUGCCCUCUAAAUGAAGUAGGUGUGAAACAUGAUUAGCAUAAGAAUAUUAGUUUUAAAAAUGAUGGGAUGCUUUUAUUUGUUCCGUGCUUAGGUUGAUAUUAAUCUAAUUAUUUAAAGAAUGAAAAACAUAAAACAAAUCUAUUAGAAUUUAAGUGUCGUUCAAACCAUUGAGUUGAUUAUUGAAGUUAAUGGUUACAACAGUAAGUAUUUUGUUGGAGUGGGUUGCUUGAAUUUUAGACUACAUUGUUUUUUAGUCUAAAACUUAAUAGUUUGUAUUUUCAUUUUGGAUUCAAACUAGUAUAUAAAAUAGUAAACAUAAAAGGAUAAAAAAAUUAUAAACAUUGUAAUAAAUGUAAAGAUAAAAGGAUAAAAGUAUGAUAAAAUCAAGCAUAUCCAGAACAACGGCGUCUAACUUAGGCUUUCAGGUGAUAGUUGAUCCCUAAGCUUUGUGCAGUGCUUUCUUUUAGAAUAGCAAAUAGGCGGUCCUUUUAAUUGUAUUUCAAUUUAACUUUUUAUUCCAAUGAUUUCUAAUUUCUGGAUUGAUUUCAUUGAUUUUUUUUCUUUAAAAUUUCAAUAACCUUGUUGUCUCUUUAGAAUGUAAGAAAAAAGUUACGCAAUUUGUCUCUUCAUUAAACCAUACAAUAAUGCACAUAGAAUGAUCAACACAGUCAUGAAGCAGCAAUAAGGGGCAGAAAGGCUUGAGCAAGCGGUCAUACUCCAAUCCAAUCAAAAGCUUGUGGGACUUUAGAAGUGAAAUAGGUGGGUAACUUUCCAAAUAUGUUUUUGGGUAGUACAGUUCAUGAUGAAAGAAAAUAAUUUGUUUUAAAAAUAUCAUCAAACCAUGUUGUGUUUCAAAUUCUCAAUUAAUUUUACUUUUAUAAAUUUACAAACUGUUUUACCAACACUCUUACCCUAAAAACUUCAAAAAAAUUCCAUUUCUAACCCAUUAUUUUUUCCAAAAUCAAAAAAAGAAGAAAGAAUUACAAAGAGAUGCAAAAAAAUAAAAUAAAAAGAAUAAUAAUGAUGAUUGAUGAGAGACGAGUAGUGCACGUGAUGGAGUGCAGGAAAGCAAUGGAAUGAGGUGCAAGCCAACGUAAAUAAAAGCAAUUAGAAGGGUAAGUAUGAGUGAAUGAGAUGAAGUCUUUAUAUAAUAUAUAUAUAUAUAUAUAUAAUAAUAACUUUAAUAAGGAAUUAAUUAAUAUAUUAUUAUGAUUUUUUACUUGGAAGCAUAACCCCCUUUUCCUCCCCCCCAAGUAGUGCACGUGUGCACAUCCACUUGCUUUCAUAUUAUGGGUUUUCGGUGUCAACAAAGAAAGUGACUUUUUUCUUUUUUUAUUUAGAUUUCAUUUAUUUUAUUAUUUCCUUUUCUUUUUUUUUUCUCUCUCUUUUUCUUUUCUUUUUUUUUUUUAAUUUUUUCUCUCUCAAAGAUUAAGCUUGCACGAAUGGUUCUCUCAUACCCAUUAUUCUGUUACUUUAUGAUGAUGAUAUCUCAACCUCUUCUUUGGCCUCAUUUACUAAAAGAAAAGAAAAAAAUAAUACCCUUUUCAUUGACACCUAACUUUUUAACAUUUGAGAUGCAAAUAUCACCCCCCUUUUUUUUUCCUCUCCUUUUUUAAUUUUAGCUACUUCACCUUUUUAACCUUUAUUUUUGUGUUUUGGUUAUUCUUGACCUACUUUUUCCUUUCAUCUAAUUUCUCAUUGCCUUUUAUUUUCUCCAACAUUUUCUUCCUCCAGACUUCACAUGUUUCACUUUUUAACAUCAAUAAACACCCCUUAUAUAUGUAGUUUGAAUUUAAGUGCCUAGCUACCUCUAUACCCUUUUUUUUUUGCUCUAGCCUUUUUUUAUAUAUAUAUCAAAUUUAUUGUUGAUCAUCAUAAAGUUUGGAUUGUCCUUUGUCUCAAAAUAUAUUGAUUUUAGAGAUGUUUGGGUUCUCCUGAAUGUGCACGAAAAACAUUUAAGUAUAUUAUCUAGGUUAUUGUUCUUAUUAUGUCUAAGUGAAUUAACUACGAGAAUAGUUUGUCUUAGGAUAUGGGGUGAUUUUGGACUAUGAAAAUUAUCAAACAAGGAAUUCACCUUAGGAUGCAAGAUGUGCAUGAAACAAGAGGCACAACUUAAGGAGUAUGUGAGGCGGUUCGAAGGGAGAUGUCAACUAGCCCUAACGUGAUCCUUGUGCAAGCUAGAUUUAACCUUCUAAAGUUCUAUUUGUAAAUGAAUUGAAGAAACAACACUAGGUUUAACUCCACUGUAUAUAUAGAAUGUGAUAACUUCAUAUUAGUCAAAUUUAAGUUCUUUCCUAAAAAUUUGGUUUGAUUGGUCUUGUGCUAAAAACUAACUUAAACAUUGGAGAGUUUGUGACAUGCCAUAUUAAGAUGUGUUGAGUUUUUUAGGCAAAAUAUUAAAUAUGUAGUUGUUUUAUAUUGGUUAUUUUGGAGAAAUGUGGGUAACUCCAAACCUAUAAAAAGAGCUCACUUUCUUUGUUUGCAAAUGACUCAGUUAGAAACACUUUAAACUUCAGUGUGCUAACUCUAAUUAAAUUUCCUUUGUAUUCUCUAGUUGGAAAGUGGGUAAAAGGUGAGAGUGGCAAAAAAAUUUCAGCGAGUGUUCUUAUAAUUGGGGCUAGGAGAGAGAAAAUCAUUAUUUGUGAUUGUAACAAUUUUUUUAACCGAGUGAAUUUCUUGAUUUUAUGUCCAAGUUGGGAGUUUCCCAAGUAAAUUAAUGUAUUUUCAGUUUUUAUUGCUUUAUUUAAUAUAUUUGUUAUUUAUGUGUAUGCUCCUACUGCAUAAUUGGGAGGUUUUGUCCCAACGGGAUGUUAUCCUAAUUGUCUUUGUAUGUAACAUGAUCUUCUUCGAAAUACAAAUUUAUUGUUAGUAGCAUGUGGAGAUUUGAUGAGUUUCUUUGAUUGUAUUUUGCUAUCAACGCGAAUUAUUUGUGUAAUAACAAAAGUACAACAUGAAAGGUAACUUGGAACUUGUAUUUUACAUAUAGGGACAAAAAAACUGAUCACCUAGUAAUCUUAGUUAAAAGACACAUAUAAGAUAGCUUUCUCAUCUCUAGCUUAUAUAAUCUAUGAAUGAGAUUAUCUUUUAAUUUCUUCCUAACUUGUUUAAUUCUAUAGGAAUUUUAAUUACUUUAUCAAAUGUCUCUUUCAUAAAAGAGUGAUUAUGAAGAUAUAUAUUCUCUAUACAAGAAAAAAGCUUCCAGUAAUCUAUCACAUCAUAAAACACCAUACACCCUUGAAUAGACUAAUUAUACUUCAUUAAGAAAAGCUCUUAUCACAUAAAAGGAAAAUAUAAUAAGAUGGUAAAAAAGAAACAACGUUGAUAGAGACCCACAAAAAUAAAAACUAAACGAGACAACCUAUUACAUUGCAUGAUCGAAGAAUCAUUCAAAAGUAUAUAAAAAUUGAAGAAGAGAUAACGUCAAAAAAUUAAGACGACAUGUGUAGGAAACCUUCCAAGAUCAUAAGCAGUUAACUCAAGAGUCAUCAAUAUGAUAAAUUCUAUGACAGAUAUUGGAUAUCUGCUUUUUUAUUGAAAAGAUUAACAAUUUUCAAACAACGUAUUUGAUAAUACGAAUUCAAAAUUGGUGGGAGGGGCAUAAAAAGUGUAAAAUUGUAAAUUGGGUAGAAACACAGUAGGGUGAUAUUUAAAAAAUGAAAAUGUGCAUAAUAAAGAUAGAGAAAAUGAUGAUGAUGAAUAGGUAUGAAAGUAGAUUGUGGUAAUGAAUGAAAAAGUAGGGAAUAAUUAGUGGUGAUACCUUUAGCCUUUUACCAAUGGCCACACGUGUGACAAGUUAAAUUUUUUUUAUUUAAUUGUAGGCUUAAAAGAGAAAAAAAGAAAGGGCAAUUAACUCUCUUAAAAGGGACCCAGCCAAGAGUGUGGAACAAUUGGAUAUUUCUUUCUUCACAAAAAACUGACCCCUCUUUAUGGGGUGGCUUAGUGUAGUUUUGGACCCACAUUGCAAAAGCUAAACCAGCAUAUCACAUGUUUGAGUUAUCAACUAGGUGGUGGCUGACCUAUAUUUUUUAAAAGUCACAUCUAUUAUAUUAUAUUAUGUUAUAUUAUAUUAUUCUUUCCUUUUCUUUCUUCUAUCUAAUAUGCUUUACUCAUUUUACCAUUAUUUCAACAUUAUCAACUCUACUAAUCAUCACCCUUACAUUCUAACUUUUAUUUCACUCAAGAUCUUAUAUUAAAUUUGAGAGAAGAUAAUAUAUUGAUUACAAUGCAUGGAAUUUCUCUCAUUUUCUUAAAUAGAAAAUUUAGUUUGAUGACUAUCACAUAAUAUAUAUUGUUAAGAUGAAUGUAAUUUAAUUGGAAUAAAAUUUAUAGUUUAUUUACCAUUUUUCAAGAUCAAAUGUUAUGGUUUAAAAUAAAAAGAGAAACAAUUGGGUACAAUUUUUGUUUUUCUUUCAUUAAUUAAAUUAAGAAGAAAUGAAAUUAUAAAGAAUAUAAGAAAGGCAAAAACCAAAAAAGAAAUAGAAUAAUAUUUGAACAUAAAAAAACUAAAAGAGAAAGAAUGUGAAUGGAAGUAAAAAAAAAAAAAAAAAAAAAGAGAUGUAGAAAGGUAUAGAUGCAUGUAUAAGGCUGCAUUUUUAGCGCUACAUAUAGAGAGGUUUGGUUUAGUGUCUUCACUUUAUACCUUCAAUUAUUUCCUUUUCUUUUUUUUUUUUCUUUUUUAACUCAUCCUUUUGUUUUCCUUUAAUUUGUCUUCUUCUCCAUUUAAAUAUAGUCACUUCAAUCAUUUUUUUUCUCUCUCAAUAUUAUCUCUAAUAUCUUAUACUAUACAUUAUUCAAAAUUUACAUUAAACUUUUCAUUAAUUACAUCUAUCUUGCUCCUUUUUAUACAUGUAUAUAGAGUGAUCACUUGUAUAUAGUUAGUUUUUUAAAAAUAUAUAACAAAUAUAAUCAAGGUGGAAUAAAUUAAGACCGAACAACUUUCCAUUCAUUUAUUUUAAAAAGAUUAGAUUAAAUAUUGUAAGAGUUGUUGGCUAAUAUAUAGAGUGUGAAACGAAUCUCAAACCUUAAGAUUAGUGUUGUAACAAAUUAUGUGUUAACUGUGAGCUAUAUUCAUGUUGGCGACUUUAUUCUAACUCGUACUUUUGAAUUUCAAUAUAAAAUAUUAGAUACACGAUGAUGAAAAAUAUUGUAAUAUUCUUUGUAAAAUGAAAUCUCACUUUACCAAUAAUAUUAUGCUUAACUACUUUUGAAAUUAGGUUUGAUGUGUAUAUAAUAAAGUAUUUAUAUGAUUGAUAAUGAUAUAGUUGCAAGGUAGGAGUAAUAAUAUAUAUAUAUUAUAUAUAUUAAAAAAAGUGUGUGCCUUGAAUAUAGGAGUUGGGAAGGUGGGGCAACAUUGGCAUCCCAUGUGAAGCAUUUAAUUUAGACUAUAGUUUUCAUGUACGUGUUUAUAUAUAUAUAUAUAUAUAUAUAUAUAUUGAUUGGGUUUAUUACAUUUGACAAUUUUAUAUGCUUGUGGACAAAGAAGAACACUAUAUAUCCAACUACUAAUGCUUGAUUUUGACUAUGAACUUCUAAGUUUUGAAACAAAAUUAUAAUAAUUAUAAUUAUAAUUGAAUUGUUUGUUACAAUUUAGACUUGAGUUGGGCCUAUCUGCCAUUAUAAUGUCCGAAAGAGUAAGCCUGGGCCCCAUUUAGCCCAAUAACCCGGCCCACUUACAAAACCUUGUUGGAUAUUGGAGUCAAAUUUUAUUUUUAAAAAAGAUUUUCUAACACAAAUAUUCAGAAAUAACUUGACUAUUACAACUUUAUAUAAUAUCAACGUAGUAAUUAACAUGCCCCUAUCUAUUUUUAGGUUGGAUCAAUCCUUUCUGUAAUUGCUGUACUAAAAUUUUUAAAAAAAAAGUUUCAAAGAAUAAAGUAAAUUAAUGGUAAAUAAUAAAAUUGUUUAAAGCAUUUAUAAAAUAUAGCAAAUUUUCAUAUUUCAUCGUUGAUAGCACUACUAUCUAUGCACUUAUAAAAGUCUAUCAUGUUUGAUUAUACAAUCAUUACUUUAUUAAAUGUGGAUUAAAAUGCAAUAAUCACUUAUUUAGCAUGUGUUUACUUGUUCGUAGAAACCUUUAUUUAUAUAGAAAAAUUAAAUUUGAAAAGUUGGAGUAAAAACAUUAAUUCAAUCACUAUAUAUAUUUUUACGAAAUUUAGAAAUAAAAAAAUUGAAAAGAAAAUGAAUGAUAGUGCAACCAAGAAAUAAACUCAAUUCACGAAAUAAGAAACCUAAAAGAAUAGACUACAAAUAGAGAAGAGAGUACCUGAAGGAAACUAAAUACUAUUUAUUGAAAAAGUUUAGAUUUCAAACCAUAAUUCGACAGUAGAGGUACGGCUGGCGGCUCGGAUGCGGAAGAGGCGCGGCUCACGGCUCAAGUGCGGAAUGGGAUCGGCUCGCGCUCGGCAGUAGGACGGCUCAAGGCUCGGCUUACGACUCGGAUGCGGAAUGGGAUCGGCUCCCGGCUCCCGUACACAUACAGCUUGGACAGAGCGCGCGCUUGCGAGAGGAGACGGCUACCGGCGCGGACGCGGAAGAAAAGCUUCACACGGCGGCUAGGCUUCGUCGGACGAUCGGCUGUGCGCGGCUGAUGGAGAUAAAUUCGACGAACGAUCGGCUGGGUUUCGAAGAAGACCUUUCUCUUUUUUUUAAUUGCACUAAAUUUGAGGACCAUUUAUAAAUAAUAAUAAUAACAUCAUUACUUUUUCUUUCUUAUUUUCAUUACAUCAUAUUUUUAUGUUCCCUAAAUUUAUUAUCAUCGUAGUUAAAUUGAAACUUUUUAUCCAGCUAGAGUUGAUUAUUAUAGUGGUUCAUAAUGGUCACCGUUUAUGUUAGAGAAAUAAAAAAAUAGAAAAACAAACAAAAAUCUCAAGGCUACUGCGAAUGAGGAGGGAGUGAAGUGAAGUGAAGCUGUCUGUAUCCUAAUUAGCGACUAUCUGUUUGCGAGUCUCCCCCAGUUCAUGGUUCUUCUCAAUAAUCAUGACCUCCAAAAUUUCAGUUUCCACAUUACCAUUUCCCCCAUCUUCCCCAACAUCUACUUGCUCAAGACUUUCACCCUCCACUUCCACUUCCUCUUCCAUCUUAUACCCCAUAACCCCCAAAUUUCAUCUCUCCUUGUGUAAUUUCCCACUGGGUCUCCGCCUUUUCUCUCCAUGGACUGGUUUAAAGCACUUGGGUAUUUCUACCAGAGGAAGGUUUCCCGGUAUGGAUAUAAUACUCUUUUAUGUUUAAGAUUCAAUUACUUUUUCAUAUGUGUCUGUUUGAUUUCAUAUUGUCUGAAAGUGGUAUUUUUGCAGAGAGAAGGAAGAGAAUUCCUAAGGGGAAAGCAGUUUUUGCAUCUUUGUUUGGGGUUGGAGCUCCCGAGGCACUGGUUAUUGGGGUUGUGGCUUUGUUAGUUUUUGGUCCCAAGGGCCUUGCUGAGGUUAGUUAUACAAUUCUUGUAGAUUACAGAAAUUUUGGAGGUAUUUGGCUGUUUCAGAUUUGUUUAUUUCGUUUAAACGUUUUUGUGGAUUUUAUUGUCUGAUGUUUUCUUGAUGAUGGCAAAAGUUGCGCCUUUGAUAGAAUGAAUUCUCUUUAGAAAUUAGAUUCCAUCUAUUUAAGGUAGUCUGGUAGGUUUUGGUGUUGGUGCCGUUGACCAAAGUUUCUAUUAGAAACAAGAAACUUCCCUUACCUUAAUGCUCUAGUCUUUUUCUGUCUUGAGCCACGGUGGAGGAAUAAUUAGUGUUGAUGCAAAAAUCAACAUUUGCUGCCUCGGCCUGGUCGAGGCCAAGCAGCGCCAAGCAAUGCCGGCCCUAGUUAAGUCUUGUAUUCAAACCCAUUCCAGCCUUGGGGCAUCGUUGCUAUCGUUGCUGGCCCUGAUUCUAUUAUUUGAUUGGCUUUGUUGCCCUUUUUUCAUGUUUGGCAGAUUAUACCCAUUGGUCUCAUAACAAGUAUGCUGUAUUGUCGCAAUGACAAGAAGGGUAGCUUCCUAAUUCUUUGACAGACCUUCAAUCAUUGUUGUGUACAUGAUAAAGUGUGUUAAGAAAAAUCUCAUGUAUUAAAUUCACCCUUGUGACUCGGUUUGUUGGUAACUUAAGGAAGCGUAACGUGUAAUCACCAUAGGUUAGCCAGCCUAGUUACACGAGAGCUAUCAUAAAAAGUGAGGUUAUGAGUUUCUCUCCCAUUUACCUUUUGGAGGAAAAGGUGAUCUUUUUUGGUUUGUCUGCGUUUAGGCUUUGUUGCGGGAUCUUUGGGAGAGAAACAAUAGAAUGUUUAAAGGUGUAGUGAGGGGCUCUAAUGAGAUUUCAAGGUUUCAUGUUUCUCUUUGGACUUUGGUUUCAAAUAUUUUUGGUGGGCUUGCUUUUUUGUUUGCCCCUGUAUUGUUUCGUUUGUUUAGCUAGAGCCCUCUAUGAGUAAUAUUGACAACCAAACGUAGUAAGGUCAAACAAUUGUCUUGUGAGAAUAAGUGAGUUGAACCUCUGGUCCAAAUACUCACAAUUAUUUUAAAAAAUAACGUAACUUAAGGGGCAUGACUAAGAAUAUAGAAGCUCCUUAUGAAGAAAAGAUUUGUGCACAUAUUUUGGGAACUUUAGAGUUGGGGAGUGAUAAGGAACUCCAAGAAGUUUCAUUAGUUUGUACUUCUCUGAAAGGGUUUCUAUCAGUUAUAACUUAUAUUACGAUGUCAUAUUUAAAGCGCUGAGAAAUGAAAUCACUGCAUUCAUUGUCUCUUCUUUGGUAAAAUAGUGGGUGGUAAAUGUUUUAUAAAGAAUUGUGAGUGAUGUUGAUAGUGAUUAUAUUUUCUAAUUCUCCACAUCUCUUUUGCUGUGCUUUUUGAAAUUGAAUAAUUCUCAGCUUCUAUCACGCUUUACUUGAAAAGAACACUAAUGAUACUUGAUAUGAUUUUAAACAUCUUGGUUAUUACAAUGGACUAUCUGUUUAUUUCUUUUCCGAGGGUCUUGUCCAGUUGGAACCCAAAAAGUGAAGGCAUCGGCUGCCUCAUAGGUUUCCUUUUCCCUGUGCUGCACUCUUGUUUUGAGAACCCUCAUCAUCAAUGGUUCUCUGUGAGUAUUGGCUUGUAACUGUAAUGGAGAUAAGAAAGAAGGAUAAUCUCAUCUCUGAAUUAAGUAAUGCAAGUAUAUAAAUGAAAUCUAGCAUUUUAAAAGAUUCCUCCCUACUAUCAUUGGGUUGGCCUAGUGGUCAACAAGGUCCAUGAGUUUAAUAAAGGACCUAGAGGGAAUGAGCUCAAUUCAAAUUCACGGUGGCCAACUACCUAGGCUUUAAUAUCUUCUAGUUUCCUUGGCACCCGAAUGUCGUAGGAUCAGACAGAUUGUCCUGUGAGAUUAAGUCAAGGUGAGUAUUAGCUAACCCAAACACUCAUUGGUAUAUCAAAGAAAUAAAAAUUAAAGGGUCCUCCCUCUUAAUUUGAUGUAUUUGUUGUAUGCUCUCAAAAUUGUUGAUACUGACCCAAAUACUCAAACGGCAGUCUACCAUUUGUACUUGUUUGGAGACCAAAGUACAAAGAAAGUUGGUUUGGCUUUGGAGAUCUCAAAAGGCUAUGAAGGUCAACAAGUUCUUGGUAUACAUUAUUACAGUGUAGAGUGCUGAAAGUUGCUCAUUUAUGUUUCCUGAUAUGAGACUUGUAAAAGGGUAAGAGUAACUUUUUAAGACUGAAACCACUUGAAAUGAGGAGAUUGAUAUGUCAAUGUUAUUUAUUAAUUUGUUGUUAUAAACAGAAACGGGCAGUCUUAAAUGAACACAUGUUAGUGAAGAGUAAGGUUAGCCUUGGGUCCUUAACCCCAUCCUCAUUGUAAAAAGAUUAUAAUCCAGCAAUAUAUCAAUUGUAAUGGCCCUAAUGGGUGAUCCUACUUCUAGUCUUGUGCACCUCAAUGUAAACUUCAGGAUAUUGAGCUUUCCACUUGGAUGCUGGAACUCAAGAACUUGCAAAACUUCCUUAAAACGUCGAAAAUCUUUACCAGGGCCACUCCUUGGCAGCAAGGCUGAUGAUUUGAAACUGCUAUUAUAUAAGACAAUAAUUUUGGAACUUCUUUUGGUGGCUCUAUCUCCAAGUCUAAAGAUGAAGCUGAUGGAAAGUUCUUUUUCUUUGGUGUUUGAUAGUUCUUGAUUAUAGAGCUUUGAUCUCUGUGCCAAUCAAAUUUGUUCUGGGCAGGUUCAUGUGAAACAAAAAAAAAAAAAGAAAAACCUCACUGUCAGUUUCCUAUGUUGCCCUUGGGUUUGGUAGAAUGGAAUGCUAGGAUUUAUUUUGAUUUGCUCUUCUGACUGUUAGAUCAAACGAAUGAUGCUGCUCAUCUGAAAGUUGGUAGCAUUAUGUGCUUGAAAACUUGUAGAGUAUGGAAGGUGAAUGGUCAAAUUUGACUAAUCUUAAUCUGCUGGCUUUGUAGUCGAAACAGGUUGUCUGGCUAACUUUCUUUACAUUUUCAACCAAUUAGGAUCUCUUUCUGUAAACUUCCAAGGUGUUGGCUGGGGAAGACGAGAAAUCCUUGUUGAAAUCUUGAGUUUAAUUCUUAAAAACCUCUUCAGAGGCCUCCAGAAUGUUGCAUUUAAUCAAAAACAUAUAUCGAGUUUGCCUGAGUGAAAUUCUAAAAAACAUCUCUUCAGAGGCCUCCAGGAACUUGAAAGUUGAAGCUUUAUAAAGAAAAAAUCGUUCAAGUAAGCUGAUCCAUUGAACUUGGAAUUGGAUCUCAAAAUAGAUCAACCUCAAGUUAAUUUAACUAUUUUACCAACUAUCAAACAAAAAGGAAUUUGUUUUUAUCAAAAGCAUCUAGGACUUUGCAUAAGAUGAAAACAACUUGACAUGCAUUGAUUACCAAGUCUAACAAAAGACCUGAAAACCAUUUGGGCAGGUUUUUGUUAAAUUCUUUAGAAGAUUUAACCUAAAACAUAUCAAUAAGUCCCAAAUUUAGUUGACUUAACUUAUUUACAUGCAGGUUGCUCGGACUCUGGGGAAAACCUUACGUGCAUUUCAACCCACUAUUAGAGAACUCCAGGUUGUUAUAAAAGUAUAUAGUAUAACUUAUAUAUCAGUUUUUGAGAUUUUCUUGUAUAACUUCUUAUAGACCUUAUUGUAGUUUUUUGUUCUUCAUUUUUGUCUCUAGGAUGUUUCUAGAGAAUUCAAGACCACGCUCGAGCGAGAAAUUGGUCUCGAUGAAAUUGAGAGUUCAGUUAACAGCUCAUACAAUGCCAGCAAAUCUACCUACUCAAACCCACCUUCUGUUUCUAAAGCAGAAGAAUUUGUUUCAAACUCACCUUUUCUUCCUAAAGCAGAAGAGCUUUCAGUGGCUGAACCAAGUGAGCGAUUAAGUUAUUUCUUAUCCAUAUUCUUAUUUGUUAUCGGUACUUCUGUUCUAGGGAAGAAAGCUACAUAGAAAAAGUAGAAUGCCAAAUGGAAAAAAAAAAAAGAAAAAAAGAUCAGUAAGCAGCCUUAUUUUUUGAAAAUAGAAACAAAAAAUUAACAAUUAUUGUUAAACCAAGCCAUUUGAGAACAUGAAAUAAAAUUUAAUAGCUGCCGUGCAUCAUGUCUAGGAAUGUUAAAAUGAAACAAUCAGUAGGGUUAUAGAAUCAUCGUUCUGUCAGCUUCAAUUAUGAUACGGUUUUUGAAAGAAAAUUUUCUUAUGUAUUUUAACAGCAGAUGAUUCUUCAUCAGCAAGCAAAGCUUAUAGCUCUGAAGAAUACCUAAAAGUUACAGAAGAGCAGCUAAAAGCUCAAGAUGAGCUUCAAACCAAUUUUGUAGCCCAAAACCAGAGUGGAUCUCAAGUACAGCGUGAAGGUUGUUAAAAUCAAAUCUCUCAAGUUUUAUUUGAUAACUAUUUUGUUUUGAUCUCAUUUUUUAGGUAAACAUUUGAAUUCAUAGUCAAAUUCUAAAACCAAAUGGUUAUCAACGGGAUCUUCAUUUUCUCACCCUCCUCCUAAAACUCUAACAUAUACUCUUAAUAGGAACUGUUGAAGAACCUGCCACGGGUGCUCCUGAACUCCAAAAUCUUGACAUAGGUAAGGUUGAGGAGUCAACUGCCUCAGCACCCGGACCUCCUGGAACUGAGACGUAGAGUUAUUGGAAUCGGAAUCCAUUGUGGAUGGAUGAGUAUUUGUUGUUUCAUCAAUGGAUUGGAUAUGAUACAACAUGUUUGUUUAGGUGGGCAAUUAGAAAAUGUGUUAGUGUUUGGGAGAGGUGAUUUUAUCAGUGUCUUGGAACGUAAUUAGUUUCUAGGCAUUGGAUAAGAUGGUUUUUGUUGGAUUACUAUUAAGUAGAAUUCCUUCCUCAUUUCAUAUUAAUAUCUUCCACGGAUUUUAGUUUUAAAAAAAAAAUAUAUAAUUCUUAGUCUAUCAGUUUUGUGAAAUAGAUUCAAAACAUAUUCUAAUUAGAUUACCUUACAAAAUGGCUAAUAAAUAAUAUCCAUAAAAGAAAUAUAUAUAUAUAUAAGAAAUUUGAAAUUCUAACAUCUUGGUCAAUAAUUAAACAAUUUCAUUAUUAAUAAAAUAAAAAAGCAUUUUUGCGCAAUUAAAAAGGAAAAAAAAAGGGUCACAUAAUGUAAAUAACAUUAUAAAAAGCAAUAUUUCCCCAAGAAAUUCAAAACCCCAAAUUCUGUCCUCUUCCACUUUAUUCAAAUCACUUGGGAAAACAAAAACCUAAAUCUCCAAAACAAACUCCUUAUCCUUCUCCAGCCUCGCCAUAGCUUCUUCCUCCAAGCUUAUCUCCACAUCGAUUCCUCCAUUCUUCCCUUGAUACAGAUACAUCAUCCCAUCAAAUCUAUUAUUACAUCCACUCCUCACGCUCUCCGGUUUUCCCCAUCCAAAAUCCACCUCAUACACUUUAAAUCUCGGUGAACUCCCCACCGCCACACAGUUCAUUCCAGCGUCCUUGAACUCGAAGAUCUUCGGCGCACUCUCCCAUUCUUUGUUCCUUUGAUCGAUCGCCGCUGCGUCGUGUGACACGAUUGCCUUUUGGAUCACUCCAGCCCCGAAUUCCGCCGGAUUCAUCAGUAGUAAUCCAGCGGCAGUCCCGGUGAAUAUCGCUUGGAUUAGGUUUCCGAAGUAGCUCUCCGGCAUUGGCGGAUCCACGCGUUUACGGCAGUCUGCGAAAACGGUGAAGACGGUGAUGUCUUCCGGCUUCAGGUUUCGGGCCUGUGUGACGUGACGCCAUAUGUGGACGGAGAGUGAUUGGAAAGUGGAGAAUGGAGUUGAGCCGUCCGGUUUUGGUGGAUUUGCUGAGUUCACUUUUGAUUUGAUCUUGUUAAUGGCUGUUUCUGUGAAUUUGAAGACCUUCUCCUUUAGCGGUUUCGGAGGCGGGGCCGUGGAAUCGCCAUUGGCGGAUGCGGGUUGCGGUGGCGGAGGGGAUAUGUCGAGUUUUACUCGUGUGUUGCGCGCCUUGGUGCGCUCGAGAAAUGGAGGGACGGAUAUGUCUUGAGCCCCACGGGAGACCUCAGCCCAUGAGCUCAUAAAGUGCCACGUGGCGGUUCCAUCGAGUACGGCGUGAUUGAACGCGCAUCCCAUUGCGAUUCCGUCCUUAAGCUUGGUUAUCUAGACGGAAAACACACAGUAUUUGGUUGUUAGUGGGCUGUCUGAAGCUGAUUUAUUAGCCCAGUUACAACUAUUUUGCUCUGGGCUUGGACCAUUGAACUACUGAGCCUAGGCCCACAAUCCUCAUGAUGCCAUAUUGUGCCGGGGAUCCACAACUUUGGGACCCAGGCUAACAUGGUAUUGAAAAUUCAGUUUAAUAAUGAAACGAAAAUAUUAGAAAAGGAUAUAGUCACACAUAUAACCAUUAGACUGAAAAUAAUUAAGGAAUAAUUGUAAUGGAGGGUUAUUUUUAGAUUAAUUUUAUUAUAUUUACAAAUUUGUUAUAUACUUAAUUAUUUUGAAUAUAACAAAGUUUUAAAAAAACUUUUAAAUAUAUCAAUCUGUUAAAGUAUAUCAAUAUAAAAGUACUGAUAGACUAUUAUUAUGUUGUAAAUACUGUUCCAUCACUAAUAGAUUCUAACUUUUACUAUAUUUGUAAUUUUUAAAAAUGUUGUUAUAUAUUUAAUUAUUAUUCUUAAAAUUAUCAAUAAUUAUAAUUAUUCUUAAAAAUGUUAAUUUACUAAGAAUCUUAAAAAGAUUUUAACAAAUAUGAAAGAUAUAUAUAUAUUUAUUGCAUUUAUAUGGCUUUGACCAUUUUGGACUUUUGUUCAAUUUUACUCCUGAAUGUUUUAUGAAACUUAUUAAUUAAAUAUGUAGCAACAUGAUUGUAUCGCUAAUAAUAGAUUGGAAGAGUGAUCUAUAUAAAGGUUUUAAUGAUAUAUUUGUAAUUAUUAUUAUUUAUUACAAUUGUAAUGGCUUGUGUUUCUUUACACUAAAAUUAUUAUCAUUAUUUAAACAAUUUAAGUGAAAAUCAACUAUAAAGGGUUAAAAUUCGAAAAUAACUAUCAUAUUUAUUUUACCUGAACAGCCAACAAUGGCCUCUGGAGACCUUCCAAGUUGAGGAUCCCAUUGUAUGGAAUCAGCUCCUUGAGUGUAGCCGUGCCUUCCUCUGCCACCAAAUCGGCUAAACCCACAUCCUCGGCGACAGCUUCGGCCACCUCUACGCCUUCCAUAUCAUCAUCAUACUCCACUCUAAAAAUCCCAUCCUCAUCCUUACCCAACCUCCCAGCAAGCUGAUGGAAUGGCUCAAGAACCAUCUCCAGACCAUCCUUCAGCUUCUCCACCGUCUCAGGGAACUUCACCUCCCCCCCAUUGUCCCCGUAGAGGAUGAGCUUUUGGUUGUAGUAGAAGGCAAGAUAAGGGAGGUCAAAUGUGACCAAUUGGUAGUGUUUUGUACCCAGUUUUUUGUUGGGUUUGACAUGGGUUUUGCCUAUGAUUUUCACCUUCACUUCUUUCUCCUCUUUUUUCACAGCUUCAGGAAGAUCACCUGCCAUGGAUUUUGAACAAACAAACAAAGACAAAGUAAAAAGAAAAAUAGAGAUUAACUGAGGAUGUGGAGAGAAAAGGAAAAAGAUUUUGAGUGUUUUAUAGAGAAAGAAAGUAAGUAAUAUGGUUGGUAGUGCAUUUAUGGGGUUCAUAAGGUGCAGUUGUGACAUAUUAAUGUUUGUCUUGAAAGUUGAGAACCCACUGGCCACUGGUUCUGCCUUUGGAUGGAAGUUAGAGAAAUUACAUUGCCUUCUUCUUCUUCCUCUUCCUCUUGGUGCAAAAUAAAUUAUAUAACCAUCAGGCUUCUUCCCUAAUAAUUUAGGACCCGUUGUGUUUAUAAAUUACUUUUAAAAAAAGAAAUGUAUUGUAAUUCACUUCUUGAUUUGUAGAAAAAUAUUUCAAUAAACAUCGUUCAUUUCAUGUAAUGAGGUUGGAAAAGGUGUGUAUGUGAAGGGCAAAUAUGGAAAAGGGAGGUCUAAAAUUGCAAAAUAAUAGUGACAAAAAUUGACCAAACAAGUGGUUGGAGAGUUUUAGUUGAGAUGAAUUUAUUUUGGAUUUUUGGCAAAAGCAUCCCCUCUUUAAUAACCCAUAAGGCUCAUCCUAAUUUGGCAUUACAUAUCAAAUGGAACCCACCCAUUUAUUUUUAUUGCCUUUUAACUUCACUACCAAAACAAAAUAAUAAUAAAACCUUCUACCCAAUUUUCAAACUAAGAAGUAAUCUUUCUUACCCACUCUAAAUUGAUUAAUUUAUAAAAUUUACAAAUUUAACUAACUCAAAUCAUAACUUUCUUAUCCCCAUAUUAGUUUAUCAAAGAUUAAGAAGUAUAUAAUUUUAUCCCAUUACUAAAAUUUAGGGUUUAAAUAAAUAAAAUUAUUAUUGAACAAGUCAUAUUAACUUUUAACUUUUAGAGGUUUAGUGACAUUUUCAAAAAUAGCAAAAUAUUAAAACUAUUUAUUCCUAUAUCCAUUAAAUUUUCUAUUCUGGUAUAAUUUUAUGAAAUUUUUUCAAAAAUAGUAAAUUUUACAAAAUAUUUACAAAAUAUUUACAACUUAUAGCAAAUUCUAUAACUGAUAUAUUAUGGUGAUAAAAGACUAUCAUUGAUAGAAUAAAUAUAAGAUAUGGUUCCAAAUUUUGAAUUGAUCUUUUUUUUAUGUGCACAGAUAAACUCAUAUUUAUUGGACAUUUUCAAAUAUAAUACAAUGAAUUAAAAUAUUUACAAAAUUUCAAACUAUAUCAAUCUAUCAAUGUCUAUUAAAAACAACUCUAAAACAAGAAUAGCUCAAUUUAUGACAUAGUGUUUAUAUUCUCAAUUAUAAAGUGAAAGAUUAGUGUUAGUGUAAGGAUAUUACAAGAACACUAUGAAGAAUCUAACGACCCAUUUAGAUUGAUUUAAGAAAAAAGUGUUUUAAAAAAACACAUUUUGAUUUAAAUUCUCUUUCGACUAAAACUAUUUAAAAUAUAUUUCAAAACUGAUUAUCGAACGACUUAUUUUUUAAAAUUAAAUAUUUUAAAAUGCAUUCCAUACUAAUCAUUUGGUUAGACUCUUAUUUUGACUGCGUUGACACAUUGACUUACUAGAUUAAACUUUGUAGAUAACAUUCAUUUAAAUCUAGAAAAUUAAAAUUUGGUGGCGAGAGUAUCUAACUACCCUUUUCAAACUUAUUGAAAAAAUAUAUUUGAUUGAACUAAACUCUUAAAUGAUUUAAAGUUACUCAAUUUAGAACGUUUUUUUUUUUAUCAAGAUUUAAAUGUGAAAAUCGUACAUGCAUUCAAUUUGUACACUUUUACUAACUUAUUCAAAAGUCAUACUAAAAAAUUGAAUAAUUAUCAUUGAUACAUGGACAUUUUUUUUAAGUAAAUCGUAAUCAAGAGUCUAAGAUGAUUAAUUUAUAUUAUUAAGGAUUUAAUGGAUAAAAUGAUAGGUUGUUAUAUGGUAUCUUUAUUUUUUAUAGAAAAAGUUAUAUGUAUAUAUGUUGUGUCACAUGUAUUUUUGCAACAUUAAUUAAUGUGUGAAGCCCACAAAGAGGUUGGCAUUAAUAUAAACAGCAGCAAUAAGUGAGAGUGCUUAUUUUGGUUCCUAACCUUUCCAUAGCCACAAAAGUAGUUAUAGACUUUUAGUUAAAUCAAUGUUAACUCAAAAUCAAUAUAUUUCUAUUUUGACCAUUUCAUUAUCAACUUUUAAUCAACUAAUACUUAAUUAAAUACCCAUUUAGAAUGCAGAAUGGAACCAUUUUGAAAUUAUUUCUAUUAGUAUUUUGUAUUCGAUUGUUUAUAAUUAAAUUUUCUAACCUAAUCGCGAACCCAACAAUACCAAUUAAGUUAAAAUUUGUGAUUGGAGGGUAAAAUCCAUCUCAAAAUCUUCAAAUGAAAUGUUUAGAGCUUCAUUUCAAGUUUGGUUAAUUAAAAUCAAAUGAACAAAUAUAGAAGAUGGGAAGUAAUUGGUUUGAAAACCCAUCAACUCCAUUAAAUGGAAUAACUUCCUAAUCCUAUGUUCUAACCAUUUAAAAUUUCUCACAUAUAAUUUCGCAUAUUGUAUGCCUUUAAUUCUAUGUUUCUCUCUUUAAAAUACUUUAAAGAUAUAUAUAUACACAUUAUCAAAUAAAAUUUUAUUCGUCUCUAUCCUAAAUAUCAUUCACCAAAACCAAACUAUAAUGGUCUUACAUGUCCUUUCAAUUCUAGAUUUUUCUUUUUAAUUUUUAAAAUUCAUUGAGAAGAAUUUUUGUUAAGGUGUUCCAUUUUUUUUUUUUUUUAACGUUCGAAAGCAGUUUUAUUUAUUAAUUCAUGUAUUCACCAUUAUUAUUAUUAUUGAAAAUUUAAUGGAGUUAAAUUGAGGUAGAUGGAAAAUAAUGUCAUAUCCCAUUAACUCAAUUGAAGAAUUAUAAAGUCAAUAUAAUGACUGUGAGUGUCAGAGUAUAUAUAUAUACCAAAAUCAACUUUAAAAUUAAUCUUAUUAUUAUAAUUAUUAUAUAAUAAUUAAAUUAACAUUCAUAGAUUAAAAAAAAUCUUUCUCAGGAUGGUGAAUGUCAAACUAUCAAGUGCACAUGGAUAUGGGUUUGUGCCCCUAUAUUAAAUGUUAUCAUAAAUAUUGGCCACGAUGCAUAAUUUCUUGACCUACAAAAUUGGAGGAAUUGUUUCUUUUUUCUUUUUAUCAUAAAAUAUUAUAUUUGAGAAGAUAAAUCAAACAUACUUCAUAUCCAAGUUAGCACAUGAUUUUCCAUUUUCGAAAACAAACAUCAUGCAAUAGUUCAAUGAGGAAUAAUUACAUUAAUUUACAAAAUAUAACUAGAGUAGUUAGACAUCAAUCAACCUCAUUUGCGAUUUAAUUCCUCUUUUAAAUAUGAAAUGGAUUUAGUUAUUCCAUUAUAUAAAGAUGAAAAGAAAAUUGGAUUAUAAAAGAUUAGAGAGUAACUUAGGAAAAAAGUAAUGUAGGAUUUUAUAACUUACUUACUCAAUCACCCAUAGGGGAAAAAAAUCUCAAAUACCCACAUAAUUUUUCGAUAAUGUUAUAGCUUCCCUUUACCAUUUAAUGUUGUCAUUAAUUUGUGGCACAUUACUUCCAGUUCAAGGUUUUUGAAGUUCAUAUCAGACAUUUAUGGAGGGGGAAAUGGAUGAUGAUGAACAAAAUGUGGAGAGUUCAAUUUCAUCUUCAUUUUCUUUUCCCAUAAAAAGUUAGUAAAAGUCAAUGACAAGGUAUAUGAAUCCUCUCGUUAGUUGAGGCAUGUAUUUUUAACCCAAAUAUUCGAAGUUACAACUUUUCAUCUCAAAGUAAUUUAGGGUGAAAAGAGAUGAUAUGUAUGUUAUAAUGUUUUCAAGAGUUCUCUACCUAGAACCAUUAAAGAGUACAAUUCAACUAUAACUAUAACAGAAUAUAUAUUUGGAAUUCUCCAACAAUUGACUCGAAAGAAAUAGUCUGUACUAUAAAUUUUUAUCUCCAAGUAAUUCAGAGCAAAAAAAGAAACAUGACAUUUUGAAGAGACUACUUGAAUGGUCUACCAAUACGGAACAUGAAUUACACGAGUAAGAUUCUAAUUGUAUUGAACAUACCAAUCCAUGAUGUGGUCAUUAAAAAAAUUAGAUUCAUAUGUUCAAAAAAUAGAAGAUUACAGAUUGAAUCGUUAUCAGAAUUGUACCUUAUUAGAGUAGAAGAAGACUCUCCUUAUAAGAAUCUGCAUAAACCCAAUGAGAUCCCAAUUCAAUUCCAAUAUCUUCAAUGCGAUCCAGUUCAGUGUCAACCAAUGCAAGGCUGGGGUUCCCCAUCUCUUCAAUCUGCCUAACAGUGAGAAAUUUAUAGUCUAAGAGGCUCCAAGGUCUUGUUAUUUUCCCAUGCAAUGGCAGAACAAUAGAGUUUAAUCUCACCCAAGACCCCAUUUUCAAAGCCCAUGUGUCACACACUUGCUUCCCGUUCCCACCAUCAGGCCUGCAAUGGAAAAUAGAAAGAGAUUCUUGGACUACUCCCAAGCAUAAUGGUGGAGUGUCUAUGUAAACCAAACAAUCAGGCAACAUUAGUCUAUGAAACUCCUCAGUGGCUAUGUCAAAAGAGAGAAUGGAAUUGGGAAUUCCACCAUUUUUGUGCUUCACAAUCCAAUAAAUAAGCCCAUUAGAGCAGAUGGAUUUGGACAACAAUCUGCAGUCAAGUGCAGUAGGAAUUGUAGGAACAGAAGAAACUCUCCUCCAACAAUCAGCUUUGAGACUGUAAAUUUCCACUUGAUAACAGCAACUCCAUUGCUCAAUCCUCACAAUUCUCAACACUAUGUGAUCGUUCGUUGCUUGAUGGAAGCCAAAUGCUAGGUAGUUUAGAGGCCAACAAUGGUCCCAUUUGGGAAUCAAACUACUGGGAAGCAACCUAGUUUUCCUAACAGAAGGGUUCCAUAUAUAAAUUGGAUCAACAUCCAAUAGACUUGCAGACGAAAUGCAAACUAACCCAUUAUAUGAUCCACAAACAGAGAGUUUAUAGCCUAGAUUGGCCUUCAUAGGAAUCUCUGAUCGAAAAGUUUCAUUGAAUGUUUCAGCAUUAACAAGUGAGAAACAUGCUUUCUGGUCUGUGGGGGAGCUAUUGAUUAUGAGCAGAGAAUUUGGGAUUCUCUUUUCCAAAUGGGCAUUAACAAACAAUGGGUUCUGAACUAAUUUGUUCCAUUCUUUGCAUACACAUCUGAAUCGCAGAAGCGAUUUCACAGGUAAAUACGAAAGAAUCUCAAUCAAAAUUUCAGUUGGACAAUUUACAAACACAUCGUGGGAAUCUAGUAGUACUCGCAUAGUUAGGCAGGAAAUCCAAACGACAGAAACCAAGUAGACAAUAUUAACGAAAAUAGGUUGAAAUGCAAGAGCAACCCCCAAGAAAAGAAGUAAAAUCUGCAGAUUUCACCUGUGAAUCAAAAGUAAUUUGAACUAAACUCAAAUGAAGAUUGCAAUCAAACAAUUUUUAUCGAGAUCUAUGCUAAUAUUUGGAGCACAAUCAAAGUGGAAAAAGGGAAGAAACGGUUGGUUGAUCAAUUGAAAGUGAAAGAAAAAAGGUAAGAUUCUGAAAGAAAGAGGAAAAAGAAUUCACACCAUCAAUCUUUGAACUGAUUCGAUUGGUUCCAAAAGUGUUUGGGAAGAGAGAGAGAGGGUGAGAUUAAAGUUAUAGUAAGAAGCUUUAAGUUGAAGAUUGGGAUUUGGGAUAUGGAAGCUCAGUAGUGGCUGCCAUACGCAGAAUAUUGUCCGUUACGGCGCCCACUACGCACAUUGAACAUCGUGACGAGCGCCAUAAUAUUGCCGCUAAGCUUUCUCCCAUUUCUCCCGCUUUAAUUUACUAUUCACAUAAAGCUCCAAUACAACCAAAAUCCCACUUGGCUCAAAUUAUGUAUUUUCUAAAUUCUGAAUUCAUAUCUAUUGAAAACUCUUAUCUAAUUUUAAAUAUCGUAUAAUUAUAUUUUAAAAAAUCAAACAAAAAUACAAUGAACUGAAUCUACAUUUCUUAAAUAUACAAUAAAAUGUUUAUAUAUAUAUAUAUAUAGAAAACAAAAAUAAACGAACCAUAUAAACUAAUUUAGACCGCCCACCCUAUAUGUUGGGAUUGAUAUUGAAAUUCAAAAGAAAGAAAAGUAGGGGAGAAAAGGCAUAUUCUAAAUGCAAUUAUUGUUUUAGAAGAAUAAGACAUUAGUCCAUAUUUUGACUAUAAUCUUUUUCUUUCUUUCUUUCUUAAAAGAAAAAACUAUAAAAUAAAUUAUUCAUUUUAAAAUAAUCUAUUAUAAAUUAAGAAAGUGAAAAUUAGUGAAAAAUCAAUUUUACACAGUAUACACAUAUAGAAGUGUUAGGUUUUAAAACUAUUAUAACACUAUACCUAAACUUCAAAGAUUAAAGGAUCAAAUUGGUAUUUUCUUUUUCAUAAAAAGUGAAUAAUUGUUAUUUAUUAAAAAUAAAUACAUAUUUUUUUUGUGAUUUUGAAAAUUAUUCUAGGCGAAAAACUAAGUGAGCCUAAACACGCAUCCCACACCGAGCCCAACAAACAAUAGCCUACAACGAAUAUAUGAGCUCAUGUUCCAUUGGGCCCAAACGAACAUCCCGAAACUCAUGAACUGAAUAGGCACGAACCGACCCGAAUACGAUUAGUGUUUCUUCCUCUAAAAAUCUUCGUCGCCGUAGCCAAGGUCAUCCUCAACCUUCUGCGCUGCGUCCUCGGCGAUCUGGUCCUCCACAUACUCGACGCCC